UAUUAAAUUUACCUAUUAGUCUAUUUGGUUUAAAGAAGGUGCUUUCUUAUUUUUCUUGCUUGAUUCAAGGCCUUUAAGGUUGAUCGAAAGCAUUCCGAGAGCCGUUCCAAAGUUGAAUUUGCGGGAUCGGAAGAGGCUAAUCCAAAGGAUGUGUGGCAAGAAAGAAUUUUUUUUUUACUUUUUGAUGCUUGUAUACCCAUUGUCAUAGAGUAGUAAUUUUUGACCAAUUCUUAUAAUCUUCUCAUUUUGAUAGUCGAUUUGAUCUUCUCUAUGCCUAUCGAUGUAGCCCAGUGUGCGUGAAUCACAUGAAUUCACGUGUUGUGAUUGUUCUUGGGUUUUUUCUCUUUUUACUUCACUUUACUCUAAUUUCUUGCAUAUUUUUGUUCUGGGUGAUUUAAAGCAAACCGUUGGUUAGUUAGUGUAGUUAAUUAACAUCUUGAUAGUGUAGGUUCCGUCGUUGCCGCGCUAUAAUGGAUGAGUAAAUACUUCGUAGGUGUUGUCGAUCAAAGUAAAUUAGUUUGUAUACAGCUACUCGAGAAUGCUAUACUGCAACUGAUUUGGUCCGUGAAAAGAAACAAUAUAUAGAAGAAAUAACAUCGACUGAUGUGGUCUACAUGGAAUUGAGGAUCAAGAUUGCAACAGAUAAUUCAGCAAUUUGAAUAAGUUGGUCUAGUUUUCGUUACGCAUGAUUGAUCAAAAUGGAUCAAUAUAGGACUACUUGGUGCAGCCAAGUGCUAGCUCAAUUAGGUUUGCGCCCGAUAUGGGCUAAUCAUUCAAUACCUGGAAACAUAUCAUAGUACCAGAACAGGACAGUUCCUUAUAACAGCAAUGCUAUGAUGGGCUGAUCCUCUUACCGGAAAAGGAAAUUGAAAAUGCUUAGCAUUUUCCUCUUUUUGAAAUGAGAAGUACACAAAUCUUGCUAGCUCUGAAUCAAAAAAAGUGCUUCUAGUAUAAGCACAAUACUAGAGAUGAUCUACUCUUCUAUGCUGUAAUUAAAUUUGGGACUAAACAUACUGAACCAUUUCUCUGUAAUUUCUAUAUGACCUUCUCUUGAAAUGCAGCACGGGCUAAGAUCGAUUGAGCAGCAGGUUCAUAGAAUCAUCUGACAUCGAUCCGUGCAGAACCCGAACUGGUCGACGUCGUCCGAGAGGAAGUUGUUCGUGCCGCACACAUAAUUGUUUUCGGCGAGGAAAUAGAUUGAACUGUAGUGGCAGGGCUCAUCCCUCAACACUUCCAAUAACUGAUCAUUUUGUUUUCGCGACUCUAGGAUCUGUUCUCUGGUAGCUUCAAGCUGCUUCUGAAGAUCCUUCAAGCACUUCUGCAAGUAGGAAAUCGCAUUCGUGCAUCCGUAAACUGGAUCUCGGAGCCUCGCGUUGGCCUCGUACACCAUGCUUUGCACCGCGUCCUCUCUUCUCGUCUCCUCCACCACCUGAUUCACUCGAGCACCGGAAUUUUACGUUAUCGAAAGCAUUGAAUUUUGGUUCGCAGAAAAGAAAAGGCAAUCAUUAAGCACCGCAUUAGCUACAUAUGUACUUGUACGGAACACUCACUCACCUGAAGCAUUUUGAUCACAUUGCUUGCUCCAAACACCUUGUGAACACUCGCAAACUUCUCCGGUUCGUCGGCCGGGAAGUACGGAGCCAACAAGCAGUCGGGGCUGCACUUGCGGUGGAGCGUCCGGCACGCAGCGCACGGCAACUCAGCCUUUGCGCGAGCCCCAAACUCCGAAUCCAUAACCGGGAUUUAAAAAAAAAAAAAAAAAAAAUGUAUUCAAUCUCUAUGCCACAAGUUUCAAAAGUGCAAUUAAUGCAGUUGCUAGGCUAAAAUAUGGAGGACCCAAAGGCUUAUAUAAAGCACAUGCAGCAGGAGAAAGUUGAGUUGGUGUCAUGUGAUGUUGAUGUUGAGACACAACAAAUUUUAAUUAUCAUCUCAUAUGUCAAAAGUUGGAAAUCAAAGAGACAUAUGAUGUUAUAAGACACCUAAAAUAGUGGAAGCUCUCCUAUUUACAGUGAGUGAUGUUAGAGAUAAGGCCAAUAAUUAGGCAAACAAGAUAAUAUAUACUGUAUUAGGAGAUUUGGUUCUUUUGUUGUAGACUGAUGCUAGGGUGUAGGAGAAAAUGCCAUAGAGGUUCUAGGCCAUUGGUGAGUUUGGAACACACAAGAGGCUAUAUUUACUUUACCCUUUGUUUGCCUUUGUUGUGACUUUUCUAUCUGGGUUACUUGUGCAACCCAGGUAUAUAUCAAGUUGCGGGGCUCAUGUAGAUGCAUGUUAUCUAUGUAUUUGCAAAUGGAUAUAGUUUGGCAACACCGGGGCCUAGUUUGGUAAUAUAGUUGCUAAAAGCACUGCCUUUUAUAUUAUGAAAGGUUUACAAACACUAGGGUCUAGCUUGGUAAUAUAGUACUAAAAUCUCCACCCGGAGAAAUAUAUGACUAUAUUGUUUUUCUGAUGGUAGUUGCAAUUAUAAUUUUAAAAUAUUAGGAAAGAAAAUUGUAAAUACUUUCAGAUCUUCGAAAGUCUCAUAAUACAAAAAUAACAUUUUUAGCCACGGCAGUAUAAAACUAGCUAGGUCUAAAACUAUACUUAAGAAAGAUGGAAAUAUGCGUAGGUGAACACUACCUAUAGUCAUGGCAAAGUCCAACUUGGCCAACUUCACUGAACAUUAGUCCAACUUGAUACUAAAUUAGACAAUUUCCCCCCUUUUUCUUUUCUUUCCUGAGAAGGAAAAUUAAUUUUAAGAAACACAAAUGAUAGAUAUGUGUGUUAGUUUUUUAGAUAAGAUGGUAGCAGAAUAAAUCCAAAGCUUUUUCAAUCACAAUGAUCGUGAUUUUGAUUCCCCCUGCUAAGGGCUAUGUUUCUACGUACUCGUUCAAAUUGACAAGAGUCGAUAGUUAUAAAUUAAAAUUAAUAGCAAAGUCUAUUUUAAAAUAAUUUGUAGUGAAAAAAAAGCUUUUGUUAUAGCAGUCAUACUGAAUACUAUAUAUAUAUAUAUAUAUAUAUAUAAAGUACUGUAUAAAAUGGCAAAAGGUAUAAUAAAAUAUAAUAAUAAUAAUUUCAUCCUGAAAUGAUAUUUUUCUUUAAAAAUUGUUUUCGUACUUACCCGUAGCAUGGAGACCUAUGGUUGAACGUUAUAAUCACUACGUGGAAUACGUACUGUUGGACGUUAUUAUCGCUACGUAGAAUAACUGUGCGUGUUAGAGAGGGAAGAGAGGGAACAUUCACGUAGUUAGGUGGUCCCUCCUGUAUAUUUGAUUAAAUUGAUUUUGGAGAAAAUGUAUAGUUACCCCUCAACAAUAGUCAUUAUGAAAUAGACCCCUCAACUUCAAUUUUCGGCAAAUGCUGCUUGCAUAGACUUAGUUUGGUAUUGAGAUCUAUCUGACGCUGUUAGAUAAAAUGGAUUUAGGGUUCAUAGAAAAUAUAUCAUAAUCGACUCAUCGUGAUAUGCGGAACGUAAUAUUAUAUACGAAAACAAACAGAAUAUUUUUUCGUCGUACUUUCUUACAGUACAUAUAAAACGCAAUCUCCUCGUAAUCUCAAACAAAGCUAUACUCCUGUUUAGAGUGUACAUCUUAUGUACACUUUGGCCAUCUAAUGAUUCACAAAAUUUCAAUAAUUUUUAAUUAAAAAAAAAGAAAAAGAAAAGAGCUUAAAAAGACAAAUGGGUUGAUCCCCAUUCACCCAACGACUAGAGUGUAUAUCUUGGACCCUAAUUUAAUUAGAGCGGACGGAUAGUAUUAUUCUUAGGUUUUUUGAUCGACAACCCUUUAACUUUGACUUUUUUUUUUAAUUGAAUUUUUAUAGUUAAUUAGUUUAGAAAUUUUAUUAAAUUUUGGUUAAAUUUUAAAUUACUCUUAUGUGAUUUAACUCAUUUUCACUUUACUAUUCCGUGGUUUAAAAAGUUGUAGUUUGCACCUCAAUGGUUUAGCUCAUUUUACUUUGUCAUCCGUGAUUCAAAAAAUUGUUCUUUGCACUCCUGUGUUUUAGCAUAUUUUUCUCUUUACUAUCCUAUUUUAAGUUUUUUUAAAAAAACUUUUAAUUUUAUCACCCUACUUGACAUGAACUUCUUAUUGAAAAAAGAAACCAAAAAAAAACCAAACCAAAGUGAAAGUUUUUUUUUAAAAAAAUCAUGAAUGAUAAAGUAAAAAUGAGCUAACCUUGGGGAAAUUUAAAAUUUUACUUUUAAAUUUAAAAAAUACUGGGAAAUUUAAAUUUUCUUUUAAAAUUUAAAAAUAUAUAAGUCUACAACCCUCAGGGGUUGUAACCUCUACAAUCCCCCGUCCAAGGUUUUAGUGUUUAAUUACUACCCUUCUUGGUUUUAGUUAAAAAAAAAAAAGCUAUAGUCUAGCAUUGCUCAAAUUUUAUUUCUCAAUUAGCUAUUAGCAGUUAAUUUAUCUAGAUUUAUUGCUACAAAACAAUUUAAACUUUUAAAUUUAAUAAAAUUAUCAAUUAAUUUGAUACAAAUUUUAAUUAUUUAGCUAAAAUUACUUUAUUCCAAUAAAUUCAAUGUUUAGGGGAUCUCAAAUAGAAAAUAUAUAGUUUUUGUGGCUAUCUCAAAAUGGCCUAUAUUUGAAGGCAAUCUAUUAGGCUCUGUUUGUUGCCUUAUCUUUUCUUUUAAUAUUAAUUUUAUAUAAUUUGAUAUGCCGAGGAAAGUGAUUUUUUCUUUUUAUUGUUAUGAUUGGCUAGCUUGCAAGACAUCCUGAUUGGUCGACUGAUAGAUAAAAUUUUAUUUAAAAUAUGUCCGAAAUAAAAGAUAAACUCUAGGGGAUUUGUUUUUUAUUUUUCGUUGCUAAAUAAACACCUUGUAUAUAUAUAAGGUUGCAAAGUAAAAUUCUUUUUUCAAAGUAAUUUUAUUAUAAUGAAUUCCCUUCUACAAUAUUUCCAUGUAGAUUUUGUACAUAAAAAAAUAAAAAAAAAUUAAAAUGAUGCUUUAGUGGUCAUAAAAAAAAUAUAUAGUUCCCUCAUGCUGCAUGCUUCAGUACCUCAAGAUAAAAGGAGAAGACCAUUUGUACACCAGUUGAAUUCAAUUGCCCAAUAAUAAGAGGUGACAUUAACCUACCUUUUUUUUUAUUAUAAUAAUAAUAAUAUUUUAUGGGCUUGGAUUUAAGCAAAAAUGUCAUUAUAAUGGGUGGAAAAAAUGUGUUUUGAGGCUACAAAUCUUCAACACAUAGUACCACUCCCAUGUUGGACCUGUGUCCUCCUCUCCAAUGUGAGUGUCUUUUGGUGACAAAAUCUGCUUCAUGUUACAAGAAAAUAUGUUUUGAUUGGGGCCUUAAUUUCAAGUCUCUUUGACUUGGUGUUCCUUGACUUUUUUUCACUCAUUUCUUCUUCUUUUUUUUUUUUUUGUAGAAAAGUUUGAGGACCUCCUUAGCUAUAGGCCAUUUUGAAUUUGAUCCUUUAGCCCUUUGGCCAUUUUUGUUUUUGUUUUUCUUUUCUUUUUUGAUUAGGACAUUUUAAUUGUUUUAUCAUCGAAAACGGUUUAUUCUGUUAUUCCAUCGGAAGAAAAAUGAGAUUCAUUAAUUGCAUGAGUUGUUUCCCUUUUAAUGUCAUAUUUGCGAUUUCAAGAUAGAUGCGCGCAUUAUGUACAGCGAAAAAGUAUAAUGAAAAAUAUUUUAUUUGUUUCCAUAAAAUAUAUUGCGACGUUCAGACUACAAAGUGGAGAAAUAUAUUUUCUUUGUACUUUUGCUUCAACUCUUUUCUAGGAUGGAUAUCUCCGAGAAGCUAAUUUUGAGGAACUUCAAAAGAUCAUAGCUUGCAGAGUCAUAUGAAAUACUUGUCUAUUAAGUUCCAUUAGAAUUUACCAGAAAUAGUUCUUAUACUUUACAAGAAUCACCAGUGAAUUAUAAAAAAUUAGAUAAAGAAUGCAUAAUCAAAGACCCUCCAAACAGUUCCUAUAGAAUAAUAUGUUAUUUAGCACUUAAGAUCUCUAUCAGAUAAAAUUGGCUUUUUUAGUAGUUAUCUAGUUCUUUUGGAUAGAAUCAACUAAAUACUCUACAGUUUUUUUUUUUUUUUUUUUUAACAAUAUGCACUAUAUUAUUUUCUAUUGGACUUUUUCAAUAACACUUCAUCUCACAGCUUGCCAAACAGACCCGACAUAUAUAUGUCAUGCUGACCCCUAUUGGAAAGGUAAAAGGAAAGAAACCAACAAUCUUAUAAAGUAUACUAGAUUGGCGAGAGCACAAUCAGAGUAGAUAAAUAAAUAAAUAAUAAUUAAAUAAAUAAGAGGGGGAAAGUACGGAUGGCUAAAUCACAGCUCGCUGUUCGCGAGCUAGCUCGUGUUCGGCUCGAAAUGAGCUCGAGAUGCUCGCCGUUUAGUAAACGAGCCGAACACAGCAGCUGGAUUUUUCAGCUCGUUUAAUAAACGAGCCGAACACGAGUUGGGUCAGCUCGCUCAUGUUCGUCCGAUAACAGCUCGAAUACAUAUAUUUUAUAUUUAUAUAAUUUUUUAAUUUAUAUUUUUAUAUAUAAAUAAAUAAUUAUAUAUAAUAUAUAUUUUUAUUAUUUUAUUUUUAGCAAAAUAAAAAUAUAAAUGCGAUCUUAAUUAUAAAAAGACUCAUUUAUAUUGUAAAGUUUCAACUAUUAGAUCAAAGUCUAAUGAAUAAGAUUUGAUAAAUUUAUUUUUUAUAUAUAUUUAAUUUAAUCAUUUUAAUUUAUUGUUCGUUGGCUAGCUCGUGAGCCAGCUCGUGUUCGGCUCGUAAUAAACGAGCCGACACGAGCUGAAUUUUCGGCUCGAUACUUUAACGAGCCAGCUCGUGUUUGGCUCGUUUAAUAAACGAGCCGAACACGAGCCGACCCCAGCUCGCUCGUGUUUGGCUCGUUUACACCCAGGGUAAGGAGAUCAGAACACAUUCCGAUACAUUAGAAUAUCAACAUUUGAAAACCAAUUAAUUAAUUUUGCUACAAACCCAACCUAUAUAGUUUAAUUUAAUAAUAGAAUAAAUAUCAGGAAUACUUUUUUUUUUUGAGAAGAGAGGUAGCAAGCACCUAACUAUCGUUCAUUAAGCAAAAUGAAUUAAGCGUACAAGGUGGAAGCAGCUAAGGCCUCCGAGGCAAUUCCAGGGACAAAAACAGUAAUGUAACAGAAUAGAGAUAGAGGAUAAGGGGAAAAGGAGAGAAAAGGUGAGGGAGAGAAGAAAAUUAAGCUGAAGAACAGUAAGCUGUUGCGGUCAACCAAGCUGUGUCCACGAGUCCGCCAGGCGUAAGAUGCGCUCAAUUGCUUGGGUAACAUUGAAAGGUUUCGUGCUGAAGAUAAUAUUAUUUCUUUCUGUCCAUACUACGCACCAAAUUGCCGCUAGAAGGGUUAGGGCUUUUGAUCUCUUCAUGGCGUUGAAGGUGAUAGAUGUAUUUGACCAAAGGUCCCGAGCAUCCCUUGAAUCCCCAAUAGAAACCCCCAGCUUGAUGGUUAGGAAUCGGACUAACACGCAAAAACAGAAUAAGUGAUCGCAAUCUUCCAUGGAAAGUGCGCAGAAGACAGUGUCCGUCUACAUACAUCCCACGAUUUAGUAAUCUGUCAGUAGUGGAAAGUCUCUUGCGCAGUAGUAGCCAAAUGAAUAUUUUGAUUUUAAGUGGAAUGUUGAGUCUCCAUAUGUGAUCGUUCGUCGGGUCUCUCUGACCUGCAUCGUCGAGUGAUUUAUAAAGGGAUUUGACCGUAAACAAAUGGUUGGAGGUCCACCCCCAUUUUAGUUGAUCCGGGCGAUUGGUAGGGCUGCAAUGACGUAGAAAGUCUUUAAGCAGGGAAAGUUGUCUAUGGUUUUGGGGUGAUUGGGGCGCCGCGUAACCUCUGCAGAUAUAUCGCCAUCUCCAUCCGUUGGAAUUCCAGCAUUGUGAUAGUAUGACCUCCUUAUUCCGAAUAUUGUCAAAGAUGUUUGGAAAUAAGGUGUGGAGGGGUGUUUCACCAAUCCAGAUACCAUGCCACAGUCUGAUGUUGUUACUGUCCCCCAAUUGGUAUGAUGCUCCGCAUUUAAACACCUCACGGCAUUUAAUCACACCUUUCCACCACUGUAAGGUAUAAAACCUCUUCCCUCGUGCAGCGGCCUUCGUCUUUUAUAAUAGAGGGUGCUAAUCAAUUUGCACCAACGCAGGUGUGGCUCAUUGAAGAAGCGCCACCACCAUUUGGUUAAGAGAGCCAGAUUCAUGUUGUCCAGGUCUUUAAUCCCCAACCCGUCUUCUUCCUUACUUUUGCAGACUGUUUUCCAACUCACUAGACAAGUGCCACCGGAAACUUUGGAACACCCUUUCCAAAAGAAUGCUUUUCUUAGGGCUUCCAGGCGGUGCAGUACCCAUUGAGGUGCUUUAAACAUAGAAAGAUAGAAAAGUGGCAUAUUGGUGAGAACCGAGUUAACAAGAGUCAGCUUUCCCCCUAGGGAGAGUAACUUAGCUUUCCAUUCUUCAAUUCUCGCUUCAAUGCGCGCGGUUGAUAAGCACAUUCCAGUCCUCCUUGCGAAGAUAUUUAUUAUAUAAAGGAAGGCCCAGAUAUCGAAACAGUAGAUUUCCAACUUUACAUCCUAUAAUGUUGGCCAGCCUGUCUUCUUUAUGGGUGUUGGGACCGAAGUAGUAAAGUUUCGAUUUGUUCUUGUUGAACCUGAAGCCGGAGGCCCAUACGAAGGUUUUCCAGAGAAACUGUAGGUUCUGCAUAAUGAAUUUUUUUGGCUCACAGAAAAAUAGAGUGUCGUCGGCGUAUUGGGUGAGCACCGUCUGGCAAUCUGCAGACAGGCCAAUUUCGUGUAUCAAGUUGUUACUCCUAGCUAUUUCGGUCAUCCUAGCCAAGCAAUCGGACACCAAGAUGAACAGGUAGGGGGAGAGAGGGUUCCCUUGUCUAAGACUCUUUCUAGCUUUUAGCCACUUUCUUGUAGUGUCGUUCAUUAGAAUGGCUAUUUUGGCAUUGCAGAUAUAUUGUUAAAUCCAGGACCACCAUUUAGCACUAAAUCCAAGCCACCGAAGUAUACUUUGUAGAAAAGUCCAUCAGCCUUAAUGCUUACGCAUUCCUUGCCAGACUUUGAGCACCAGUUGAUAAGUUCCGAAGCGGUGACAAAUGAGUCAGUCAGCAGCCGAUCUUUGAGGAAAGCUGAUUGCGAUAGAGAAAUAAUGGACGGCAGAAUGGGUGUGAGUCUAUUGUCGAGGACUUUGGAGAUGAUCUUUUGCAUUCCAUUGAUUAGGCUUAUCGGUCGGAAGUCGAUAGCCUUACGUGCACCUUCUUUUUUAGGGAUGAGACACAUGUAAGAAUAAUCAAGUGGACCGGUAGAUAGUCUGUUGUCAUGGAGUUCAGUGAAAAUGUUAAGUAUAUCUCCCUUGAAGGACUCCUAGAAGGUUUGAAAGAAGAGGGGUGGGAAUCUGUCUAGUCCGGGGGCUUUAUCGCUGCCUCCUCCAGAGUAACUCAGUUGUUAGAUCAUCCGGAUUCGACAGUCUGGCAGAGUGGUAGAGCUUGCUCCAAUCGCCAACAUACUGAAGUCGCUCUUCCGCCUACCCACAUAAGCGUUUAAAAGAGUGAAAGAAAUAGGAUCUUUUUUGUUCUUUAUUGGUGAUUUCCGACCUGGUGUCGUUUUCUAUGACUUCGAUCGAGUUAAAGCGUUUACGUCCAUUAGCCACUGCAUGAAAAAAUUUAGUAUUACCAUCGCCUUCCUUGAGCCAUUGCUGUUUGGCCCUAGUUUUCCAAAGUAUUUCUUCUUUCUCUAGGAUGGACUGAAGUUGUACUUUAAGGUUUGCUCGUUUAUCUAUGGUUUAUUGUGGCAAAUUUAGCUGCUCCUCCAUCAGGUCUAUUGAUUGGAUAUCCUCCUGCAGGCGCCUUUUAGAGUAAGCAAUACUGUGAAAAUUCGUCUUGCACCAUUCCUUAAUUUUUGCUCUGCAGUGCCUGAGCUUAGCAGUUAUGAUGAGAAUGGUCGAGUUCUUGGAGCCUACUUCGUUCCACCAGAUUGGAACUUUUGUGAUAAAGUUCUCCUUUGUUAGCCAGACCCGCUCGAAUCUGAACCUCCGCGGCUUGGGGGGAUGCCCCGUAGUGAGAAGGAUCGGGGUAUUGUCGGAGGUGGUUCGAGGGAGUGUCUUGACUUUACAGUAUGGGAAAGAAAGAUCCCAUUCCGUUGAGAUAAGGAAUCUGUCGAGUUUGGCUAGGGUGGGUCUUUGUUGCAUAUUCGACCAAGUAUAACACUGGCUGGAUAGGGGAAGAUCAAUAGCUGCUAGGCUUUUGAUGAUAUCCGACAACAUGGCCAUGGCUUUGGUCCUCCAAGAGUUUCCAUUUCUUUCAGCCUGGUUUCUGGUGAAGUUAAAAUCUCCGCAAAUGACCCAGUUGUUAGGGCCUUCGGAGAGAGAGAAGUUCGGAGCAUAAGUCUUCUUUUCCACCCCAGGCUGGGGGCCCGUAGACGCUCGUAAGGUAAAAGGAUUUUCCACUAGCCAGGUGAGUCAUAUUAAGGGUGAGCGAGUGCUCCUGCACAAUGACCUCGCUAGAAGAGAAAAGUUUGGAGCUCCAACACAUGAUUAGCCCGCUAGAGGCCCCAGCUGCUGGGUUAAAAUGGCACAAUAUCGAAGAUAGAUCUACAGCAAGAGCGGAGAAAGGAGUAGGGCAUAGAAUCUACUUUAGUUUCUUGAAAACAGACAAUCGAGUAGAAGAGAUGGGACACACAGACUUGAUACAUCGAUGCUUAGCUGGGUCAUUUAGACCUCGUACAUUCCAACUUAGGAUGCUAAACAUAAGGACAAAGAGACAGGACACUCGAGGGACUUUGCAGGCACAGAAGACACUUCUACACUUAGGUUUCAGCACUUAGGAACUUUUGGAGCUCCCUGACUUCAGCAUCGAAUAGUUUCACCCUGCAGAGUUGCUCUUCGCCUUCACUUUUUUCGUGGUCUACUUUCGCGUCGAGGUCCCAGUAGUGGUCGCCUCACCCUCAAUCAGAAGCGCUUUCUUGCGCAUUGCCCUGCAAAGCGUUGAGACCUGCGUCUUGUGUAGCCUAUUGUUGGACCUUGGCGGGCUAGCCUGGACGUCAACGGGGGAGGACAUUCCACCAGUUGCAGUGGGCGAUUCGCGUUGAUCGACUCCAAGUAAAUUCGUAUAAGCAGGCGUCGGUCUGAAUAAGUCUCGUCCAUAUAAAUUGGCGACAUCUACUAUCGAAACACUCAGAAUUUGAGAGAUAAAACGCGCGUCACUGUGAGAUGGGCUACCCGUGGCAGAGCCAACAACAUCCGAGAGCGGGCCUUCAGAUGACCCAAGUUGGAGGCCACAAGAAGGGUCGAGCCGCUAGGCAGACCAAGGUGGGAGAAAACUAGCCCGAAGCCCAGGGAGCUAGACCCGAAAGUAGGGUAAUAGAUGGUUAACCAGUCUUGUGAACUCAAUCCACCUGGGAUGGGUGCGGAUUAGAGGACAGCUGUCCACCACAGAGGUAGGUUGCGGGCGGGAACCAAGGUUGAUGGGCAGAAUCCCCAGAAGUUAAACCAAAGAUCCUUCGUAUAGUUGAAAAAGCCCCAAAAACCGUUUGAGUCAACCAUAGCUAGGUGUUUACCCCUAGGGUGACCCUGGAAACUUCCACUUUCAUGAAGAAAAGAAUUAAUGGCGAAGGGCGAGCCAAGGUCCAUCUGGGAGGGCGCAAGAAGGUUGAGGCCGCCUGGUGGGCAUGUACUUCACACGUCUUCUUUGUCAGAUGGCACGAAAAUGGAAAGUCCAACCGGCGGGAGAUUUGAAAGUAGGGGUUUUUUCGGCGGGACGGCCGCGCUGCAGUCGGCUGAAGGAGGGUUAGAAGGCCGUGCCUGCCACAUGUCCGACCGCCAAGAUUGAGUGGUCAGGCGGCACUAGUCCCCUGUUCGGCGACGGUCAGGGGACGCCGAAGGAGGCGUAGGAGGCGGGGACUUCGAAGGAGGCGUGGGGGGCGGAGGACAGGUGUCAUCGCGAGCCGAGGUCGGCGGGGUCCACCGUAGGUUGGCGGGCAGCAGUCGCCUGUCCGACCUUAGCAGGUGCGCGCUAGAGAUAACCGGGAGCGCCUGCCUCUGCGACGGAGACAGGACGGGAGAGUCAAGACUGGUCGGGGCAUCCUUGGGGACGAUGGCCUUUCUUCUGUCCCAAAUUUCAGAUGAAUUUCAAGAGCCGUCGGAGUUGGAAGAGUCGCCUGCUGUGGAGUGACGUCCUCUAGAAAAAUCAUCUGAACGACUUUCAACUCCAGAGAGUCUCGCGAGAGGGUCGUGUUGGCCCGUUCGCUCCUCUGGGGAGGGAUUGUCAUGGCCAGCGUUCUCGUCGUGGGCCUAUCUUUCCAACUGAAUGAGCACCGAAGUCGACAGGUCUCCGAAAGAGAUUUCUAUGUUCUCCGGAAUAUCAUGAAGAUGAUUGACAGCAACAAGGCAGCGGUAUGUCACGGCACAAAGAUUUUCUCCGCGAUUUCGCUUUGCAAUCACCCGAUCUCCAAAGCGGACAUCUGACGGAGGUUUUGGCUUGGAACCUUCUGGAAGCUUCUACGUGGAUCUCGAGGCUGAUUGGCGCGGAUGCCGAGGAGUCAAGAGUCCCUUGGGGUUUCUAGGUAGCCAUUAAUGUACUUAGAGUUUCUAAGCAUAUUUCCUAUGACUCUUGGGAGACCGUAGCGUACUUAUUGGCCUCCCCUUUUGGCUUGUAGUUUCAUGCCACUUGGCACCUUUUCAUUUGCACUAUGGGCGGCGAGUGGCCUAUAAAUAGUGUGGCCUCCAUCCCUCUCAUUUCAGAAUCUACUAUUGUAUUCUCCAAGUUGAAGUAAUAGAAGAGCUUUCUUCUUAUCUCUCUCUUGUACUUAGUCUAGGGCGAGUGAGGUCCUAACUUAGCAAGUAGAGAGGCAGGCUUGCUCACUUCGCGAAGGAAGGCGAGCGCCGCACGGGCUUUUGCGAGCAAAUUCGUUAAGUCCGUGACAGGUAGCCGGUAAGGUCAACCAUGUGAGUGCUGAAGUUGUCGGCCCUAAUGAAAUGACUGAAGCCGCCGACGAGAGCCGCUAUAGUUCUGUAUUUCCAGCACUCGUAAGGCAGGCUUACCAGUCGUAUCUAGGCUUUGUAAGUCAACGAAGGCUGCCGAGCACCUCUGUAGGGGUCCCAAGGAUAGCAGCAUAAUUUAAGGUCUCCCAAGCUAAGGAUCUCCCUGCAUAGGAGCUGCUCGCAAGGUACCCAUUCUGGCAGGAAGAUGACGAAGUCUCGUUCGCUGUAGUGGGCGACAUGGAAAUCCGAUGGGUAUCCCCCAAAACGAUUGGCGAGGCCGAAGGCUAUGGUGUCCUGGGGGAAAUGGCCCAGGUUAGCUGGGGAAGCCACGUCGAUUACGACAGCAUUGUGUGGGCGGUUUUGGCGAGCGAAAAAAUCUUCGGAGAGGGGGACAAAUGCGCUGAGGUAGGUUGGGCGAGCACGCAUUGCUCGGUAAACAUUCAUCGGCAACUGAUUCAUGCAGUAACGAGCAAAGUGUCCUAAUUUGAAGCACCUUCUGCACCGAAUGGAAUUGCGGCAAGUAAAGACUCUAUGGUCUCGACCCAAGCACCGAAGGCAUUUGUCGGCAAAGGAUGGCCUGCCGAAACUGGGGAGGGAUCUCAGAAGGGAGCGGGGAUGGGAAAUAGCGGGAGGAGCGGGGGAGAGAAGCGCAUCCCUGUACAUCUUCUUAUAAGUAGGAGGGGCAGUGGUGCGCUUUCUCACAAGAUGACCAACGGUCCGUGGCUCGUCCUCGGACCUAGGCUUGACAGAGGCUUGAGCAUUAGAUGAAGUAAUUGAGCUGAGUUAAUGCAAGUGAAGCCAAGUCCGCCCAGAGGACCUUCUUGGAAGAGGAGCAUCCUUCAUCUUCGGGUUGUCGAAGGUAGGUAUCCACAGUAACUCCAAGGGGCCUCUUGAGGAGUUGGAACCUCUGCUCCAGCACAGAGUUCAGGCCGCCAGUAAUAUGGUCACAAGACCUGCCGGUCCUUGCCCCGGGUGCACUGGGAGAGGUCGCUGUUGACGUCGAGUGCUUCAAAAUCGAGGCUACCACCUUCUCCUUACCAGUCCACUUUUCCUCUCGUAUCAUAGGCGCCUUCUCAUUGCAGGUCUUCUCCUCUCUCCAACCAUGGCGCGAGAGCCUUCUCUCUCUCUCGCAUAGUGUCAUUAGUAGAACCUCGCGAGAGUCUUCUCAAUAAUUCGUAAUGUUAGUUAUGAUCUUGACAUAUCAGGAAACUACUUAAAGCAGGGAAUUUACCACUACUGUGAUUUCUAUAUUUGCAGCUUCUCUAGCAUUGGCAAGAAGAAACUCAACUGAUGCAAACAAACUUAUGAACAUUGUGUUAGCUUUGUUAAGAUUAUUAUUAUUAUUUUUGGGAAAACAGUAGGGAGAACCAUCUGCUUCUUUCAUUAAAAAAUAAACUUAGCUACAUAAAUGAAAUAACGUGGCCUGAUCCCAAAGAAGAGAAAAUAGAGUAAGGAUGAGAGAGAGAGGGGAGCAAAAGAGGGGAGAGAGCAAAAAAAUUUACAUGAAUGGCGGCAGAGAAGAGCAACUAGUGACAUAACUCAAAACAAUUCUUUAUGAAAUUCAAAAUACUCAAAAAAAAGGACUUGAACUGGAUUCGUACAACUAUCCUAAAAAAUAAAAAAUAAAGUUGUUCCUUUCUAGCCAGAUUGCCCAUCAUGUGGCCGAGUCUAGUGAGCUUGUUUAGCCUUCUACUAGCGUCCCGUUGUGCCGAUAGCUAGCUUCUCCUAGAGGGGCAAAUGUGAACGUCACUGGACUUUUGAAAGAAUAAAUUUAAUAAUUUGAACUUUGGAGGGAUAUAUUUAUUAUUUAAUAUAUUUACAGGGAGCUGUACGAAUGAAAUUAUCCUUAUUUUAAAUCCCCCUUCUUAAUUAGAGUGCCAUUUAGAUCAUUAGUGGUCGAUUAGCUACAGCAUAAAAUCGAUUUUCUUAUUAAUAUUUCCGUCUCUAUCUCCCGUUUACAAUCAAGGUCUUUCGAGUAAAAGUAUCUUCUCCGGAAUACUUUGCCUUUGUUGUUGAUUUUUCUUGUGAGUUUUAUUGCACAAUAUGAGUUAUAUAGAUUGCAUUUUCUUUAUUGUUGAAUUUUCGUGAGUUUUAUUGCACGAUUUUAAUUUUGAUUUAACUAGCUAAUUGUUGGUACACUAUUUUUAGAUCUCUCUCUCUUAAGUGCACUUUGAACCUGCUUUUGGGUUUAAAGUUUAGAUCUGGGCCAAAUUAUUUCCUUUUGUGGGCUAUUUCCUGCAACUUCAGAUGAAGUAAUCGUUCUUAGGGCUCCAAGUCCGAGCACGCUUUUUAGCACAUUUUUUUUCUUUUUUCCUAACUUGUUGUUGGCUUAAAUGGAUCAACAUCUUACUUUGUGGUUGGAAGGUAGGUUGAGUCGAGACAUGUCUGAAAUGGUAGGAAGCCAGGUUGGGCGCUUUUCCGAUAUAAAAUUUAAACAAAUUGUUUACUAUAAUAAAUUUAUAAUUACACUAAUUGCAUAAAUCUACCAAUUAAAUUCGUAAAGACAAAAGAUGCAUUCUAAUUUUGAAGUUAAAGAGUUACUAACUUGCUUAAAUCUAAUAGAGUAAAAGGUUAAAUAGCAAAAUUAAAGUUUUUAAAGAUUAAAUAGUCAGAUAAAAAAUAGAUGAUAGUCGAGAUAAGUUUCAUAUAUUUUUGCAAAAAAACUUUACCAUUAUAGAGGUCAUUUUCUGUCCAUUUCUCUUCGUUUCUCUUCCUUUCUUUCCUCUAGUUUCAUUUCAAACCAGAUAAAAUUAAGUGUUCUACUUUUUUUUUCUUUUCUCUCCUUCUCUCUCAAUCAAAAGGAGUGUAGAAGUAUUGACCGUCCCUAGCGCAAGCAGCAAAAGGUUUGGUAUUAAUACCCGAGGUCCCAAGUUCGAAUCCUAAUUGAUUCACAUUUCCAGCUAAGUUUAUUUCUAAAUAAAAUAAACAAAACGGAUAGUAUGCUAUCUAUUUCUCUCUCUCGAAAAAAAAAAAAAAGUGUAGAAGUAUAUGGAAUUUCUACUCAGUUUAAAGAAAACCCUACACACCUACUGGUCUAGUGGAAAGCUGUAGACCAAAUCAAAGAUUACACGGCAAUCUCACACACAAAUUACCAAGACUUAAAAAUUGAAAAAUGAAAAAGAAAUAUACUGAGACAAAGUGGCGAAUAAAAUUGUAGAAGAGCUAUGCUAUCUGGAAAAUUUUAUUAUAGAGUAUAAAUUUCAUAUCUGGAAAAUUUUAUUAUAGAGUAUAAAUUUCAUACAUUAGCCUUUCAAAGGCACAUAUUUAUUUACUAGUUUUAUUAAUUUUUUAAUAGUAAAAAUCUAAAAAAGUUUUUAAAUUUUUGGAAAGUCGGAUAUAAAAUUUGCAUCUUAUAAUAGAGUGUACAUGCAACAUUUUUUAUUGUAGAAUAGGUAAGCGGAGAAUAAGGUUUAUUGGAGGGUAGAGAUUUAGUCCUCAAAGGGAAAGAGAGACGUUGACCUAGAAUAUAAGGGCAAUCUGGUUUAUCUAUUGUAGAUAUUAUUGUUUAUCUUAUGAGAAUGUGAUAUCGAUUACUAUUCUAUUCUCGAUUGGAAAUGAUCAAAUUCAUUUAUGAUUCAAUCCUGUCUGAAAUUCUGAAUUGGCCCAUGCCAAAGUUAAACCUUCCGUAAUGGAAAAUUUUUUUCAAUAAAAAUAUAAAGAAUUUAUAUCAACUAUCUCAUAUUUUGAUAUGACUAUUUAAUCUUUAAAAAUUUUGAUUUUGCUAGCUAACCUUUUACUUUAUUAGAUUUAAGCAAGCCUACAACUCUUUAACAUCAAAAUUAGAUAAGUCCCAAAAUGAAUGAAUUCUAGUAUCUCACACUCGUACAUACUUCGUACUUAUAUAUAUUUGCUAAUUCCAUAUAUAUUCUCUCAUCUCAUUCUAUUCUUCAUAUGGAAAAUGGUUUGUGUGAUCAAUAACGAGAAAAACCAAAAGUGGGAAAUGCUAUAUUAAGUCACCAUCCAUCUAACAUAGCACUACUACUCCACAUCUAGUUUAUACUCCAAAUCACUAGAUCACAACAGAUCGAUCAUAUAUAGCAUCUCUUUUCCCUAUCAUCGAGCAAACUAGAUCUCUCAUUAAUGCAUUUGUAAUCAUGAUUAUAUUGACAACACACAUCAAAAUAAUCAUCCGGAAUAUGAGUCACAAAUCGUAGGUGCGCUGUCAAAUUGUCAAAUUAUUUUUUCUCAAAUGCCUUAUGCCAAUUCAUUUCAACUUGAUUGCUUUCCUAUACAUAUUCCAUGGGACCUAAUGAAUCAUGACCUAUGGAUAUUAUGCUAAAGUAGCAUUAUCAAGUAUCUAUUUCAUGACAUGGUUCUAAGUCUCAAAAAAUCCCAAAGGGUACACAAGGCUCACACAACGAUGAAAUAUGGAUUAAUUUUGCCACUUCCUUUUAUAGUGACCGAUUUUACUUAUACAGUACAAAUAAAUGCUAUGGUAGAGCCAUCUCUAAGAACAUGUAACACACAAAAUAUCAUACGAAUGCCAGUUCUAUUACUACUCAAGACAACAAAUCUUAAUAUAGUCAUCCAUAUGGUGCACUCUUCAUAUUCGGCUUUAUACAUGCCAAGUAGAGUCAUGAAUCAUUUAUAUUGUUGAAUUCAAAAAGUUCUAAAGAGGAAAUUUAUUAUCCUUAUGAUUUGUAAGAAAUUAGAUACUAAUCAAAUAAUUAAUACCAUUUUUUACUUUUUCCUUUCUUUUUUUUACUUUCCUUUCUUUCUUUCUUUUUUUUUUUUUUUUUUUUUUUUGAAAGGAAAGAGGUGGUGGGCUCACCUCCUCUGUACGGAUCAGAGGAGGUGAGUCCACCCUCUAUCCUUUUUUUUCUUUUUUUUCUUUUCUUUUUUUUUCUUUUUUUUUUGGAAACAACAAUGAUUUUUUUUUUAUUCUUUUUUGUACACUACAACAAAAAGGAUAUAUAGCGACACUUUUAAAUAUCAGUACAGGUCAAAAAAAGUGCUGCUGGCUAAAUUAUCGACACUUUUAAAAAAUAUUACUAUAUAUGGGGUCGCUAGGUAUAUAGUGAAAGUUAAAGAGUGUCGGUAUAACCUAAAAAAAGUGCUACUAAUUUAUCAACACUUAUUUAAGUAUUUAGCAACCGCCGGAAUUCUAUCUUGUUGGCUGCGGUGGCGGAAGAGGAGGAAAGGGAAGUGCUUUUCGUCUAGGAUUUCAGUGGAUUGAGUGAGGGGAGAAGGAGAGAUGGCAAUUUAUUUUUUCUUUUUUUUUUUCUGUUUGUAAUCGGGCCGAAUGGACUGGGUGGGGUGGGUUGAGUAGAGUAACAUUUUAUUCGACAUUAGUAGAUAUUUUUAAAAACUUUGGUAUAAAUGGGACACUUACACAAAAGUGUUCGAAACAUGUGUUCCUAUAAUCUAAUUCUAUUGUAGUGGUUCUUAUUUUUGAAUUUUCUUUCUUUGUUUGGAACGCAAUUCUAUUUAUUUAUUUAUUUUACCUAAACAAUGACACAAGCCUUCUUUAUUCUUUCUUCUUUCUUCUUUCUCUCUUUUUCUUUGUUUUUUCCUUUUUUUUUUUUUUUUUUUUUUUUUCUUUUUUUUUGGCUCAUAAGGGCCUGGCAAGAGGUUGUUGAGGAAGUUGCGAGUUUCGUGUAUGACUGUCACCUUCCAACUUAAUUUCGUAUGUUUUGUUGGGACUCACAAAUAUUGACAACAUCAAAAUUAGAAUAUAUAUAUAUAUAUAUAUAUAUAUAUAUAUAUAGAGAGAGAGAGAGAGAGAGAGAGAGAGAGUUGGUGCUAUCACUACCUUCCUAGCCGCUUAUUCGUUAAUAUAAUGUCGAAACUUACAAUCAUCAAAAACUUAGUAUUUUUAAAAACACAUAAUCUCAAUUAUAUAUAUAGAGUAGGUUUACUAUACUAUUAUGAGUAUAUAGUCCUUCGUACUCAUAAUUUGUUUUUAAUGAUGGAGCUUGUAAAUCGACGAUUCACUCCACUAAAUAUAAUCUAGAGUACUUGAAACUUCCAAAAAAUAAAUUUCGUAAAUUUUUGAAAUCAUAAUAAAGUCUAUUAAGCGGGUAUAAAGUGAAUGGUCAAAAUUGAACGACAUCCUAAAAAUGAAUGAUCGGAUUUUUCAAUUUAAAAUUGGAGUUAUUGAUUUUUUUCUAGCUAGUGAAUAGAAUUUUUCAUCAAAAAUUCAACCUAUUCUAAUUCUUUUACACCAUUAAACUAGCAAAUAUCCCGUAUCGGCCGCUAAAAAUUAUCAAUUUUGUGAAGUUUUGAUCGUAAAGUAAAUGAUGUCGAAAAAUUAUAAAAUUUAAUUUUUAGAAGUUUUAAAUAUUCUAGAUAAUGUUUAAUGAUAUGGAUCAUUGAUUUCGCAGCUCUAUCAACGAAAACAACUUAUGAGUACGAGAACGAUCGUAUUCAUAAGAGUACCGUAGCCGGACUCUCUCUCUCUCUCUCUCUCUAUACGUAUAUAAAGAGAGAGAGAGUGAGUUGAGCUAGAAUACAUCUAAAAGCACCAAUUCAUUGGUGCUUUUAGAUUUUUAGCCUUUAGAUCCAUCAUUUGACUACUAUUAGCUUUUGGAUCAAAUGAACUAUAUAUUUUACCUACCGCGACUCAACCCAAAUGGGUUACUAUCAUCCUACCCCUACAAUACCUCCAUCUAAGGACUACAAAUUUAAAAGUGUCAAUCUCUUUGUGCUUUUAGAAGUAUUCUAGUUCAACUCUUUCUCUUUAUAUAUAUAUAUAUAUAUAUAUAGAAUUGAGGUCAUAUGCUUUUAAAAGUAUCAAAACAUUGGGACUUGUAGAUUUUUAGCCAUUGGAUUAAAAAAUAUGCAGUUAGAAUGAUGUGGGCCCUCUAGGGUUGAAUGGGUGGUUGGUUAAAUAGUAUAAUCUAAUGGUUGAAAAUGAUCCGUGGAAUAAAUCUAACGGUAAAAAACUUACAAGCACCAAGUGCUUGAUUCUUUUACAAUCAUCAUAGCUGGACUCAUAUAUAUAUAUAUAUAUAUAUAUAUAUAUAUAUGGUUUAUCUUGAUGCUAUUUAAAUAUAGUAUAAAAUAAAGUAUAUUAUUACUAUACUAUACUCAAUAUAUAUAUCAUGAAGUGUUUGAGUGCUCCAAAUAGACAUGGAAAAAAUAAAUGAUCGGUAGACUACGAGACAAAAAUGUAGGUAAACAAAAAAUCCUGUCUAGCCUAAUGAUGCAAACAGAGCGUAUUAUAUCUGGGGAUGGGAUGGGUGCCUAAUGCUUGCUCCAUUUCUUAUGGGAUUGAGGAGGAUUUGGAGCAGAUUAACUUUUAUCCCAAUUUUGACCCUCACUUAUCACUCUAUUCAUGGUGGAUCAGAAUAUAAGAGGACUUUUGGCAGAUCAUCGCAAAUUAAAGGAAGAAAAAGAUCUCUCGUCCCUGCUCCACUUCUUAGCAGAUCGGGGUAGAUUCAAAGCGGGUUACAUCUUUUAUAUUUUUAAUUCCUAUUUACUUUCCUAUUUGGAAUGGAUUAGGGCAGAAACUCCAGCAACCCGAAUCCAUGUACAUCUCUGGUAAAAAAUUAUGACAUGUUUGUUCAUCAAAAGUGGAGGGGAUAAAGUUGUUUUAGGCUAUAAAUGAUUUGCUCUAAAUUAGAUCAACGCUAUUUUUUUUUUAAAAGAAAAUUUGUAAUUGAUUUUACUUGGAUUUUUCCAAAGUUACUUAUGGAAGAGAAAAUAAUAAAAAAUUAAUGAAAAAAAUUAAAUAUUGUAAUUUUUAUCAUUCUCUUUAUACACUAUAUAAAGAUGGUUAAUAAAAUUAAAAAAAAAUUAGGACACAUAAUUUUGAAGUCAUUGACUUUCUACCCAACAAAAUAGCGAAAAAAUAACUUUAUUUCAACAAAAAAUUAUUUUCAAUCUAAAAUUUAUUAGGGGAUAUUUCAUAACAACACGUCACUCCAAACUUCGAAUGUUCCGUAACUGCAAAAAAAACGACGCAUUAAUUUAGACCCCUCAACGACCCCCCAACGAUCCCCGAGUUACGUGCACGUGUGCUUUUGAGUGUAGUGUUGUACAUGCUUAUAUGUUGAGUACACAAUAUUUUAUGUUUAGCCUUUUUUUGAGAUUGCGGAAAAAUUGCGUUACGUGUGUUGCGUUACAUGCGGUGAGAAAUGACGAUGAAAAAAAUAUACUAUUUGUUUCCGUACGUAAUAUUACAUUCCGUAUAUUGCGGCUAGUAGAUUACGAUAUAUUAAUAUUGCGUUCCGCAUAUUGCGGUUUAGUAUGUUACUAUAUAUUUCUGCGGUCCCAUAGGAGAACACAGAAGUAUAUCUCUUAUAUGCUUUUUCUCAACUCCAUUCUAUCUAGUAGCGUUAGAUCUAUCUCAAUACCAAACUAAGCCUUAGUAUUUUGCUUUAAAAUUAGAGUAGCCAUAGGAGAACACAAAAACAUAUCUCUAUAUGCUUUUACUCAACUCCAUUCUAUCUAGUAGCGUUAGAUUCACCUCAAUACCAAACUAAGCCUUAGUAUUUUGCUUUAAAACUAGAGUAGGGCUACAAUAUUUUUAGCGUAUAGAUUUUUUUUAUAUUUAUAAAUAAUUUUUUAUGAUAAAGUUUUCAAAUUAACUAUCCUUAUUGUCAAAUUAAUAAACCUAUAAAAAUUGAUGAAAAAAAUAUAAUUUCCAUGAGAAAAAAUAUAGUACUAGAUAAGAAAAUGAAAAUAAAUCUAACAUACAGUGCAUCUGUUGAUAAAAUAUGGUUAUAUGAUUGUAUACUAGCCUCGCUCUAUAUACCAUUUUUUCAAUUAUGUAACUUUCGAAUCGACGAUAUCGGCUCCAUUAGUCUUGAUGUACACUAUUGAAAAUACUUGGAAACUAAAUUUUAUAAUUUUUCAACAUCAUUUACCUAUCAAACAUGCAGUCUAAAAAUGAACGGCUGUAAAUAAAAUCUUCAUAAAAAAAUAAUAAAAGAUUUGAAUUUAAAAUUAGAUGUACCGAUCUUAUUCAAAAUAGUGAAAAUAAUUUUCUAUGAAAAUUUUAUUAGAUUAGAUUGUUUUAUAUCGUUAAAUUCAAAUCUUUUAUUAUUUUUUUAUGAAGAUUUUAUUUACAGCCGUUCAUUUUUAGACUGCAUGUUUGAUAGGUAAAUGAUGUUGAAAAAUUAUAAAAUUUAGUUUCCAAGUAUUUUCAAUAGUGUACAUCAAGACUAAUGGAGCCGAUAUCGUCGAUUCGAAAGUUACAUAAUUGAAAAAAUGGUAUAUAGAGCGAGGCUAGUAUACAAUCAUAUAACCAUAUUUUAUCAACAGAUGCACUGUAUGUUAGAUUUAUUUUCAUUUUCUUAUCUAGUACUAUAUUUUUUCUCAUGGAAAUUAUAUUUUUUUCAUCAAUUUUUAUAGGUUUAUUAAUUUGACAAUAAGGAUAGUUAAUUUGAAAACUUUAUCAUAAAAAAUUAUUUAUAAAUAUAAAAAAAAUCUAUACGCUAAAAAUAUUGUAGCCCUACUCUAGUUUNUAUAUAAUAUAACAAAUAAAAAUAUAUCGAAAGUAGAGUAUAAUAGAGUGUAAUUAAGUCAAAGUAUUGCUAGCAUAAAGUGAACACAGAGGUUAUCUUUCUUACAAUAUUUUUGGGUCCGGCUCCAACUGUUUAUUUAUUGUGUUGUAAUAUUUUACUAUUAAAAUAAAAAUAAAAUUUUCUUGGCCAAUUUGUAUAAAGAAUUCACUAGUUUUGCACUUUUGCAAAAGUAUGCCACAUUUUUUUAAUUUUACAGAUUCGGACUAGAUUUUUAGCAAACUGACCAAAAUACCCUUAUUACUUAUCCUCUCUCCUCUUUUGUUUACUCUUGUUUUUUUUUUCUCUCUCCGAAGAAGGCAGCGGAGGCUAAGGCGCGCGGAGGCGGAAACAACCCGCCUCGCCUCUGCCCUGCAAGCCCUCGAUCGCCCUCGCCCGUGCACCCCCGCCCUCCUCGCCUUCAACCCUACUGAGGCCGCGCCGCGACUCUCCUUCUCCACUAUGGCACGGCGACGUCGAGGCGCAGGCUCUGCUCCUCCACCACGCGUCGAAACGCCGAGACGUCGUCGGAGGCAGCGAGAUUGCCUCAGACGACGUCGCGGUGGUUGCGAUAGAGAGUAGGGAAAAAGUGGUGAUAAAAAAAAAAUUAUAGAGAAAAGAAUAAGAAUAAUAAAAAGUAAAAAUAAAAAAUAGUUUUUUUCCUACAGAAAAGAUCAAAAAAUAUAGAAGAAAUAAGAAAAUAAUGAAAUUGCACUAUUAAAAUAAGAUUACACUUUUUUAAAAAAAAUUUGCACUGCUUUGAUAAAAAAUUACACUAUUUUAUAUAAAAAUUACACUCUUUUGAAAUAAAUUUUACACCCUUUAGACCAAAUUUGUACUAUUUAGAAAAAUUUUGCAUCAUUUUGUUUCCCUUUCUUUUUCUCUUCUUCUUCUUCUUUUUCUUCCUUUUCUCUUUCUCUUUCUCUUCUUCUUCUUCUUCUUCCACCACCCUCUCCUGGGGCAGCGAGUUCGACAUCAGCGGACCUCAUCCUCGGGCAGCGGGUUCGACGUCAUCAAGUGUGCCGCCUCCGUCAUGGCGUAUGCCUCCAGCACCGGUGCGUCCAGUGCCGCCUCUAGGAGCGCCAACACUGCUGGGGCCAGCAACGCACUGCAGUUUCACACGAACCGGAGCUGCAGGUAAGCCCUCUCUGGCUCUGGCUGCGCCGCAUGCCGAUCCAACAGGAACUGGUAGACCGUCAGCACCACAGUGUACCACGUGGCGCCUGCCGCGAGCAUCUCGCCCUAGAAUGCCGACGCCGAGAAGCGCCCCUCGGCUGGGAGCGCCGCGGCGCCGCCCGCGGCGAGCAAGCUAAGCAGUGCCGCGGCGAGCAAGCUAAGCAGUGCCACGACGAGCCCAUGGACGUGGAAGAGCAGGAGCACCACCACGGUCGCGUCCGACUCGCUAUGCCGAUACACGGACCGGAUGUUGUUGAUCGACGCGGCCAGGUUGAGCUGGGUGAGCGGGACCCCCUUGGGGACCGGCCUGCAUGCCGCCAGCCCCUCCUCCGCCGCCGCCAUCGUCGCCUCCCCCGCGCCCUCCUUCCCCUCCGCCGCCGCUGCGAGGUUGGCCUCCUUGACCACGGUGACGAUCCGCGACUCCAGGCACCGAAUUGCUGCAAGAAACUUGGAGGAGGAAGAAGAAAAAUAGAAAGAGAAAUAUUGUAAACUGAAAGAAGUAGAGGAAGAGAAAGAGAAAUAGUGUAAAUUUCACCUAAAUAGUGCAACAUUGUUCUAAAGAGUGUAAAUCUGAUAAUCUGAUCUAAAGAGUGUAAUUUCUGUCUGAAAAUAGUGCAAUUUUCAUUUAAAAUCGUGCAAAAAAAAUUUUAAACAGUGUAAUUUUAUUUUAACAGUGCAAUUUCAUCUUCUUCUAUAAUUUUUGAUCUCUAUCUCUUUCUUUUUUUCCUUCUUCUAUAAUUUUUUUGUUCACGCCUCUCCGCCAAUGGCCACGGCGUCGUUGCCGCCGCCGCCGCUAAGAACCCCCCACUCCGAGGUUGCGUCGCCACAGCGAGGUUGCGGCGUUGACGUCGUCGGAAGUGGCAGAGGAGCAAAAAAGAGAGGGCGAGAAGGUCGGGGAAGGGCAAGAGAGGGUGAGAGAGGCGUCGUCAUUGGAGGCAGUGGAGGAGGGUCAGAGGAGAAUAAAAAAAGAGUCGUGACGCGAUCUCGGCGGGGUUGGAGGCAAGGAAGGCGCGAGGUGUGCAGGCGAGGGCGAAGGCAUGAGGGUGAGAGGCGAGGCGGGCUGUUUCCGCUUCCGUCUUUGCCUCCGCUGCCUUCUUUGGACAGAGAAAAAAAAGAGAACGAGAGAAAAAAAAAGAAAGAGAGAAAAAGAUAUAAGGGUAUUUUGGCCAGUUUGCUAAAAGUUCGGACCGAAUCUACAAAAUCGAAAAAGACGACUUAGUUAACUUAUUUCUAUAACUCCCAAUAUUAAGUUUGUCACUAAAUACUUGUAACUUGUGAUAACUUAAUUCUUGUAACUCCUAAAAAUAUGAAGCCUAUAUAUAGUCAGGUAUAUAUGGAAGCUUCUCUAUUCUUUGAACAUAUAACGAAAAUAAUACAAUUCUAUUUUCACUAUCUCUAUUCCACUUGAUUGAGAGAAACCAAAAAAUGUGUUCUUUGUUGGUAGAGUUUUGGACUCAUCUACUGAUGCAGAGUUGAUGAAUCAGUACAAUAAGAGUCGAACCAUUGUAUAAUGAAUGGGACAAGUAGGUAUUAUAUUACAUCAGUUUAAGGAGUUUGCCAACUGCGAAGGGCUUUAAUCUCUUCUUAAAAAAAGUGGAAAAAACUUCAAAAACCCUCCCUGUGGUUUUGUACUUUUUCAUUUCAGUACCCUGUGGUUUAAAGUAUAUCAAGUUAGUACCAUGUGGUUUCUCACUUUCUCACUUUCUCACUUUCUCACUUUAGUACUCUGUGUUUUAAAGUGUAUCAAGUUAGUACCUUCUGGUUUUAUUUUUGUAUCAAGUUAGUAUCCUGUGAUUUUUUAAAUCACAGGGUACUAAAGUGAGAAAGUGCGAAACCACAGGAUACUAAAGUGAGAAAGUGCGAAACCACAGGAUACUAAAGUGAGAAAGUGUGAAACCACCGGAUACUAAAUUGAUACACUUUAAACCACAUAGUACUAAAGUGAAAAGGUGCAAAACCACAUAGUACUAACUUGAUACACUUUAAACCACAGGGUACUAAAAUAAGAAAAAGUGAAACCACAAGGGAGGUAUUUGAAGUUUUCCCAAAAAAGUGAGAUUUUUGCGUCUCGACUUGAUCAACUCGUCCACACUUUUCAUUCUUUUGUAAUAUAACUUCUAUGUUUGUACAUUUACACCACAUAUUGUUACUAAAUGGUCCAAAUAUAAUGUCCUUCCAGUUGUGGUCUAUAAUAGUAGAUCAUUUGAAAAGUGAUACCGAUUAUCUAGUAUCCAGAGGAGACAUUUUUGUCUUUUGACACAUAAAUCAGUAGGCUCUUGGUCUAACAUUAAAGAAAAUGAGAAAUCCCUGCAUGCUAGUGCGAGAAAUCUCUCUCCUCUCAGUUCAAACAGGCUAUAUAUAGUUGAAGGGGUCUCUUCAUAUUUUAUGGUCAAAAUUUAUAUAUUUUGUCCUAUAAUUAAAUUGUACCUAAUUAACGGACCAGAUUUAUUUAAUCAAGAUUUAUUUGAUUUAUUCUACUAAAAUAUUAUGGUCAAGGUAUCAUGUAACUUUAAAAUUUAAAUUGCAUGGUUUAAAUAUAAAUUGUACAAUCUAGAUUAUUUCUUUUAAGAUUUGUUUUAUUAUUCUUCUAAAAUUUUGCGGUCCAUCUAAUCUAUUCUAAUUUUAAAAUUUAAAUCAUUUUUAUAGUCUAGAUAUAUUUUCUUCGCAUUAUCGAUUUAUUCUAUGAAAAUUCUUUGAAAUUUAUUUACAACUUAAAUUUUAAAUUAUAAUCUGCAAUCUUAUUAUUUUAAAAGAUCAAUUUUUACUAUUAAAAUUUGAAUUAAUUUAGCCCAUGCAAUUUUAUUGUAAGAAUAAAAUUUAAAUUAUACCCCUAUAUUCCUAUCGAAUCAAAUAUUUUCCUUUUACUAUUAGGAUUCAAAUUAACAUCUUCACGAGUAAAAUAUAUUGAAGUUAAGUUUUCCUUAAAUAAUAGUUAUACUAAUAUAUUAUUUUAUCCUAAUUACUUAAUAAAAAAAAUUUAAUAUUUUUUUAGAUAGUACUGCAAACUGCAAAACCUAUGUUUAAUUUCUCUUGCAAAUUUAGAUAAUUAAACGUGAGAACUGAGAAAUAGGUUGAUCCGACUUUCAAUUUUUAUUACUUCUCUAUGUAUUAGAAUUGAAAAAAUAAAUAUGUUAAAGCUUCACAAGAUUAAUUCUAUGCAAAACAUAUGACCAAAAUUGCUGCAUAAUUAGUAAUUUCAUUUGAAGAGAGGAGUUGUGAGCCCCCAGAUAGUCUUACAUAUAAGAUAUAAUAGAUCUAAAACUCUUAACCCGACUUAAAGAUUUUCGGUGGUGGAUAGGGCCAAAAGGUUAAGAGAGUUAAGCGUGUUAGGACGAAAGUAGUUUUAGGAUGAGUGACCUCCUAGAAAGUUGGGGCGUCACAGUUGGUAUCAGAACCAAUUACCAACCGAAAUUGUGAGAUAAAUUUUGGCUGAGUCAGGAUCGGAAUGACAAGGUUAGCGAGACAAAUCUCACAUCGUCUGAUACUUGUGAGUCUGAGCCUGACGAGAAUGUCAAGGCUUAAAGGGAGGAGAAUGUGGGCCCCCCUAUAUAUAAGAUAUAAUAUGUCUAAAACUUUUUACCCGACUUAAAUAUUUUGGGUGGUGCCUAGGCUCAAUAAGUUAAGAGAGUUAAGCGUGUUUAAGACGAGAGUAGUUCUAGAAUGGAUGACCUCCUGAAAAGUUGGGGCGUCACAGGAGCCCUCUCAAUUAUUUGGGAAAGUGUAUGAGUUUUAAUUGCAAAAACUAAAGCUUCUAGAAAACUUGGAUUGCAUAAUAUCAACAAAACUUUUAAUCAAGGAUUUAAGUGCCGUGGUACAGAAUCGCGCCAAAACUUGCCGGCAUGGUGUGUGUUCUACCGUGUCGAUACGUGUCAAUCACACAAAAUUCAUGUAUGCCAAUACAAAAUAGUAUAAAAUAUUUAUUUUCUUCAGUAACAAAAUAUUCUAACUAUUUAUUAUAUAUUUUUAUUAAAUAUUUUGAAUUUUAUUUAGAAAAUUAUUUAUUAAUUCAAAGAAUAGAGGGUUUUGAGCUGUGUCAUCGACACGAAGCUGUAUCGUGUUGAUACGAUAUUUCGUUGGCACGAUACGGUACGAUAAAUGCAAUUUAUGUAGAUGGACACUUAAAUCCUCGCUUUUAAUCACUUUCAGUGGAAAAAGAUUUCUUCAAUGGGUCACCCACUGAAUCACCCCAUAAACUAAUUAAAGUGUUAAUUUAAUUUGGCUUAAGAAGACAAUAUUUAAUUUUGUUACGUUGAUCCGUUCUCACUUAAUUUUGACUCGAAGUCACCUCAGUAAUGAACUAGUAGGUGAUUGAGAUUGCGAGUAGAGUGCUUGUGAUGACCCGAUCCGUUAGCAAUAAUAAUUUAUUGAAUCUAAACCAUCAGCUCAAGAUACUUAAGUUUAGUUUUUAUUAAUAGCGUGUAAGUUUCAUAUAUUCUAAUAAGCAUCAAUUUUUUCAUCCAAUGUGAGACUAUUGAGUGUUACAGUGCAUCAGAGCGCACGGAUACGGAAAAAAAGUGUAUAUAUAAUGUUUAUUUCUAUAAGUGAUAAAAUAUUAUCCAAAUCGUACUGAUUUGAUCAAGAUAUGAUCAAGUUAUGCCAGUCCCGUCAGAAAAUAGUGAAGUAUAUAUUUACAAUGGAAGUGAUAACUACACACUACCAUACUGUACUAAUUUGGUGCUAUUUUUAUGGCAUAUAAUUUUUUUUAGAAAGCAAUAUUAUAUGAUUAUGUUUUAUCGAACUCUACACUGUAAACUCUACACUGUAUUUUAAAUUUAGUUUUCUUUUUCUAUCUUGUUCUAUUUUUUUCUUCGUGCAUAUUACUAAACUAUUUUUUCCUCGCUAAUUUCUAUAUUAUCAUUAACAAAUCUAUUAUUUUAAACAAAAUCAAACUACUUUACUAAAAGACUAGUUAAAUAGUAAAAAAAUAAUAAAAUAAAUUUUCAUGAUAACAUUGAAAUUUUUAUUAAAUUAUUUUCAAAUUUGUUUUUAUCAUUCUUAUAAAUUUUUUUUUUUUUUUGUAAAAGUGGUUACUAUAUAUAUAUAUUAAUAUUGAUAUAUAUAUAAUAUAUAUCUAUAUAUGCUUUUGCACUUUUAAUAUAUUUUAAAUUGCUUCAUAUGAAAUUAUAAUAUUUAUUGUAUUCGUGUAGGAUUGAAAGAAAAAAAAAAAAAGAAAAAAGAAAAAAAAAAGAUAUUUGAAUGUUGCCUUAAAAAAAGGCUAAAUUACAGAAAGCCUCCCUAUCAAAAUCUGAUUUUUCUCUUUCCUUCCCUGUUAUUUAAAAACUUACAUUUUGCCCGGCCCCUUCUAAAAUGAAAAAUGUUCACUUCAUCCCUACCGUUAGUGAUCUGUUAGUGUUCCGUUAUAAAUAUUUUUAUGCCAAAAAUACCCACCGCCCUCUAUUGUGUUUCGUCCUCCUCUGCCUCGCCGCCUCGCCCUCCUUUACUGCCUCGCCCUCGUCCACAUCUCCGUCCAUACCCACAAACACCCUCUCGCCCUCCUCCGCUGCCUCGCCUUCGCCCUCGUUGCCCUUGCCUAUCUUUCCAUCCACGCGCACCUCGAUUUCCUCCCUACUAUCGGCAAAAUGGAGGGGCGACGAGGGUGCCAGAGGAGAAGGGGAGCAGGUGGAGAAGAAAAUGGAGAGGAAUCGCGGACGAUCGAGGCGCGAACCGCGGCCGAUCAAGGCGGCGGAUGAGCAAGAUGAGGGAGUAGACAAAAAUGGUGAGGGGCAAAAUAGUUAUUUUGUAAUCACAUUUCACACCGUACCCCCCCUGUGAACAUUUUUCAUUUUACAAGGGAGUAAAGUGUAGGUAUUUGAAUGACAAGGGGAAAAAAUGAAAAAUCGAAUUUUCACAGGAAAGUUUUAUGUAAUUUAACCUUAAAAAAAAUAGUAUAGUGUACGUAGAAAGUAACACCUCCUUAAUUGGUGUUUCUAAGUUUUUAACCCUUGGAUCCACUCCUUGAUUACUAAUACUCUUUGGAUCACAUACUAUUCCACCUACCACCACCUACAACCAUUAUCCCAACGCUAAAUUUCUUCAUCCAAAGGCUAAAAACUUAAAAGCACCACCUCUUUGGUGCUUUUGAAAGUAUUAAUUCUAGCUCAACUCUCUCUCUCUCUCUCUCUCUCUCUCUCUCUCUCUCUAUAUAUAUAUAUAUAUAUAUAUAUAUAUUAGUAGAGCUUAAAUACUAUUGAUAGUACUAGAAUAGUAUUUAUUAUCAACUUUUCGACCAUUUAAUUAAUGCCUGAGGUUUAGUGGGGUUUGGUGGAUUAGUAAUAAUCUAAGAGUGAAAAAGUUGAUAAUAAAUACUAUUCAUAAACUAUUAGUAGUUUACUAGCUCAAAUAUAUAUAUAGAGAGAGAUACUCUUAUGAGUACGAAUGCUCUCAUACUCAUAAGUCGUUUUCGAUGAUAAAACUUUCGAAUCGACGAUCCAUAUGCUUAAAUAUUAUCUAAAAUAUUUCAAACUUCUAGAAAUCAAAUAUUAUAAUUUUCGACAACAUUUACCUUACGAUCAAAAGGUCAUAAAUUGGCAUUUUUAACGACCGUUAUGAAAUAUUUACUAGUUUAACGGUGUAAAAGAAUUGGAAUAGAUUGAAUUUUUAAUAAAAAUUCUAUUCGCUUCCUAGAUAAAGAUAAAUAACUCCGAUCUUAAAUUAAAAUAUCCGAUCAUCCAAUUCUAGGGUGUCGUCCGAUUUUGGCUAUUCAUUUUAUGCACGCUUGAUAGGCUUUAUUAUGAUUUGGAAAAAUUACGAAAUUUAUUUUUUAAAAGUUUAAAAUACUAUAUAUCAUAUUUAAUGGAGUGAAUCGUCGAUUUAGAAGCCCCAUCAUCGAAAACAACUUAUGAAUACAAAGGGUUCUAUACUCAUAAAAAUAUAGUAGCCUAUAUAUAUAUAUAUAGAGAGAGAGAGAGAGAGAGAGAGAGAGAGAGAGAGAGAGAGAUUUAGGUUGAUAUGCUAUCGAUAGUACACAUGCCUCCGUACUACUAAGUUAUUUUCAGUGAUGCGGCUUUCAAAUCGACGAUCGGUUCUUUUAGACUUGAUCUAUAUUAUUAAAAGUAUUUAAAAACUAAAUUUUAUAAUAUUUUGACAUUAUUUACAUAUCAAACGAGUAAUUUAAAAAUAAACGAUUGAAAAUAAACAAUCUUUGGUUCGGGUUCGGCAAUAAUUCGGUUUAAAUCAAACAGUUCUCGCUCCGUAGAAUAUUAGGCGGUCCUCGUAACCAAAGGGGCCCUAUUAAGUCAAAUAGUCUCUUUUUUCUUUUUCUUUUUUUGCUUUUUUUUUUAAGAAAAAAAAGUGAAUAGAGAAGUCCUAUUCAAGGGUACAUGUAAAGUAAAGAGGAGUGAUAUAUGGAGCAAGCAAACAAAAGGAAAAACAAAGGUACUGUACAGAGCAUCUAAGUCAAUAAAAAUCAGCAGCUAAGUCAAAGAGAAGUACAUUGCCACUCCUACCCCUCCUAGAAGGGAUUAUUAUAUUAUAUACAUAGGUAGUUGAAAUUUCUUGGACCCUAGAUAUGUUGUAAUAUAUAUAUAUAUAUAUAUAUAUAUAUAUAUAUAUAUAUAUAUAUAUAUAUAUAUAUAUUAGAUANUAUAUAUAUAUAUAUAUAUAUAUAUAAUUGAGCUAGAAUAUUUUUAAAAAUAACAUUUUGGUGCUUCUAAGUUUUUAAUCUUUUGAUCUACUUCUUGAUUAUUAACAGUCUUUGGAUCAAACACUAUUUCACCUACCACCACUUACCACCAUCUAAUACCAUCAUUUCAGCCCUAUAUUUCUUCAUCCAAAGAUUAAGAACUCAAAAGUACCACCUCUUUGGUGCUUUUGGAAGUAUUCUAGCUCCACCAUAUAUAUAUAUAUAUAUAUAUAUAUAGGCUGGGGCUACUAUAUUUUUAUGAGUAUAGACCCCCUUAUAUUCAUAAAUUUUUAACUGUUGAUUGAUGGGAUGUAUGAUUAGGAUGGUGGUGGUCCCCGCUUAGAAUGAUAGUGGUCCCCUAGGGUUGAGUGGGUAGUUGGUUUAAUAGUAUGAUCCAACGGUUGGAAAUAAUCAAUGAAAUAAAUAGAAUGCUUAAUAGAGUGCACUCAUAAUUUCAAGAGAGCAGAAAUCUUUGUUUGCACUUUAUGUAUACUAAUAUUUUAUACACUGCAAAAAUAUAUUAAAUAAUUGAUAAAAUAUCUGAUAAUUAGUAUUGUAAAAUAUAAAAAAAAUAUGAUGUAUUUUUUAUAGCCGGUUUACGAUGCACCGGAUGCAUCCAAAACGCCUGUGAGCUAUAUGGCAAGCUCUCGUUGGUUGUUGGUACAAGUGAAGAUCGUUCGUACGAACCAUCAAUUUAUAUUAUCUUAUAGAUAGAUACCUUUUAUAGAUUAUUAUAGAUAUGAUCCAUUAAUAAUUUCCUUGUCGAGAAGUCUCAAAAGGGUAUUGGGACAGUUGAGAUAUUGUCCCAGGAAGCAAGGGAAACAGCUUAACCAAAAAGUAGCUCACUCCCCACCCAUCCACAAUUUCCCACCUUCCCACAUCUUUGUUUAACACCCUCAAGCUACCCCCAUCAACCCAAGCGCAUGCUUAUUUAUUGCCCUUCAGUCCUUGUACACUCUCCUCUCCCCUCCAAUAUUCCCCUGCCAAUACACCAAAUUGAACACAUUGUGCUUGUUUUGCCAUGGCUAAGGCUUUGAGGGCUUGUGUGUUCUUGCUAAGGCUCUUCGCGGCGGCCGCGACGCUCGUCGCCGCCGUCGUCAUGGCGACUAGCCAUGAGACCACCUCCUACUUUGGUUUCACCAUGGAGGCUAAGUUCCAAUACACAAGUUCAUUUGUGUAAGUAUAUAUAUAUAUAUAGUUUUCGUUGUUGUAUUGUAAAUCUCACCAAGAGGCUUAAUUUGUACAUGAUGUAGGUUCUUUGUGAUAGCUAAUGCCAUAGCAAGCGGGUACAGUUUGCUGGUUCUCUUGAUUCCUUCCACAAGCUCUUUCUCGAGAUUGGUCAUUGCGACCGAUGUGGUAAGAGUUUCUCUUUGUAUUCGUCACCGGAGCACAUCAGAAGUAAUCUUAACAUUUCUGCUCACGCACAUCAGGAAACACACCUUAAGUAGCCAUUCGAUCUGGGGAAUUGGACUCGGUGACCAAUCGAGGACUAUGGUUUAGCAGUAAUCUUAAUUGUGCUGAUCAUGUUGACAUAUUAGCCACUAGCUAGCUAGCUAGCUAGCUAGGGGCCAUUUGAAUCAAUGUAAUUGCAAUUCGGCCACAAGCCAGUUUUAGUUAAAAAUAGAAAUGUACUAAUGACUCGCUUGAUUGAUCACCACUGCUCGUUAAAAAUUAAGUUCCAAAUAUAUUUAAUUUGAAACUUUUCAACGAAGGAAUUGCGGAUACUAAUUAAGUAUUCUAAUCAUUCCUUUGAGUUUUUUUUUUUUUUUUUUUUUUUUUGAAGAAAAGAUAGUAUACUAUCUGCUUCAUUCAUUAAAAAUAUCAAUUAAGCAAUAUGGAUGAGGUAAAAAAAUCUCCGCAGAAGUAAGAAGCAAGAAGCAAGAAGCAAGGAAGAAAAAAAAAACUAAGAAUGUUUGCUUUUAGAGAAUAGAAUAAUCUUUCACUGAAUUGCGAACGUCUUGAUCUUAACUACCAUCGUCAGAGAGUAUGCAUAAACAUUUCUAAAUAUAGCACUAUUCCUUGAAUCUCAUAUGACCCACCAGUAGGCUAUCAGACUGGUUAAUCUAUAGUUACGUAUACUAUUCCUUUGAGUUACAACUAAUCUACAUUUAAGUACGAUUCAAACACAUCUACUCAAAACAUUUCCCAUCUUAUAAUAUAUAUGUAGAUCAUAGGAAUGCUACUCACCAGUGCGGUGGCGGCGACGGGAGCGCUGUCGGAGCUGGGGAAGAACGGAAAUCAGCAUGCGGGAUGGCUGCCGAUCUGUGGGCAAAUACACGAAUUCUGCAACCAUGUUAUGGGAGCUCUCAUUUGUGCCUUCGUCGGUCUCCUCAUCUACCUCCUCAUCCUUUUCCAUACUUUCUACGUUGUGAUCAACCCUCUUUUCCCAUGAGUUUUCUUUCUUUCCCCCUUUUCUUUUUUUUCUUUGAACACGCGGUCUUUUUACCAUAUACUAUGAAAGAUCACGUACGUGUCUCAACGUCCUGUUAGGAACGGCAAGUUCCAAAUAUAUAUACUUAUGUGGUUGCAUGUUUUUACCAAAUACGUGAUAAAGUACAUGCAAACUUAUAAAAGUUUCAGUUUAAACUUAUAUUGCGGAAUUUAAUUUUCAGUUUAUUUUAAUAAUUGUGAUGCCUACUUUUAAAUUUGCAAUUUUUUAUAAAGUAGGAAAUAAUGUAAAGAGUACUGAUUCGAUCAAAAUCUGAAAGAUAUAUGACAAGGCAAUGACCGAUAUAACUAGGGAUGCAAAGGGGAAGGAUCCGGAAGGGGGAGAUGUCUCCCAUCAUUUGCUUCAUUUUUUCUUUGUCAGAUCGGAACGGCUUCGUGACGGAUUAAUUUUGACCGUAUUUUUUAUCUCCACUUAUUGCUCCAUUCGGAGCAGAUCAGGGCUGGAACAUAUUUUUAUUUUUAAUAGAUUGGGACGGAUCUGGGUGGAUCUGGGGCCUCCCUCUCCAUUACACGACGAAUCUGUGUGAAUUUGGGACAAUUAUAUUUUUCUAUAUGUUUUUUUUCCACUUACGGCUCCAUUCAGGAUGAAUCAGGGCGGAAGCUCCGCCAACCCAGAUCCAUUUGCACCCUUACUGGUAAGCUAAUUUAAAUAUGGUGACCUAAGUGAAAUUUCAUCAUUGACAAAAGUGUAAUUUACCCAAAUUUGUUUUGUGGUGAGUGUAAUUGCUUCUCGUAAUCUUCUCUCAUAUGGUCACACAUGUAUCUACUAUAGAGCAUAGAAGGACAAAGAGCCAGUAGCUAUAUGCAAUUAAUGUGAUGUACAUUCCCUUGUUAGUGGGUAUUUGGUUUCCCCGAAAAGUGUGGAAAAUUAUUUUCCACCAAUAACUAUUUUUCAAAAAAAAUAUUUUUUUUUUGUAGAAUCUAGGAAAACAGAUUUGAAAAAAUUAUACUUUUACUGGAAACAAACAGUACGCAAAAUACCAGAAAUAAUUUUCUAUGAAACCAAACAUCUUAAUGAUUAUCAUUAGAUCACAACAUUAUGGUCAUUCAUAUAACUCAAUGUUUGGUAAACUAUAAUACCUACUUAGGUCGUAGAUACCAUGAUUAUUACUGACAGCGAUUUUCGUUUUAUUGGCUACAGAUUUAGGUUUGGUAAGCUAACUUUGUCUGAUGGCACCUAUCCUCUAGCAUAUUAAUUGCCUAAUUAACUCCGACAUUAUAUUUGUUAGGCCAAAUAAUUAAAUUGUUGAAAAAAAAAAAAGUUUGAACUUAAUUAUUCACACCGAAAGCAAAACUAUAAUGAAAGGGAACGUAAGCAACUCGAUUUGGGUUCUUCGUUAGGACUUGACCUCCUAAAAGAGAUGCAUUCAGUCACAUAAAAACUUCGAAUCUUUGAAUAUGGAUCGAUUCGGUUGGAUUGUUGUACCCCGAAAGACUACAAUUUCAGCUAAUAAUCUGAAUUAUGGUCGAAACCUACGAAAAAGCUUUCCGAAAAAAAAAAAAUAUAUAAAUCUAGCUAACUACUUAAUUUGUUCUAGAAUUAAAAUUAUCGAAAAUUAUUAAAGCUACCUGUCCCUCCACCCUUCUCUUCGGGGAGUAUUUAUAAUCCUUGAAAUCCAAAUCCUAUAAAAUCUCGGCCGAAUUUCGAAAUCUUCUCUUACACUUAUUUCUUUUGUUAUAAUGAAUUACCGAGAUUGUUUGAUACAACGGCUUUAAUUUUUCCCUUCUGAUUUAAAUUUAUCUUCCAUUUUUAGGUAUAAGCAGUCCAUUUGGCCUAGAUUCUGAAAAAAUGAUUUCUAUAGGAUUGAUUUUGAUUUGAAAAUUUGAUUUUGGUUAAAAGUUGUAUAGUGUUUGACUAAGUUGAGAUAAAAGUAACUUUUUUGAAGUAAUUUUAUAAAACUAUUUGGAAAAAAAAAAAUUUAUAGUCAUGCACUUAUUAUACCCUAUAACUUUAAAAAUUAAUACAAAUAGGCCAAAAUGUUAGUAUUUUGAUUUAAAACAAGUGAUUUAAAACUUCUUUAUAUGCUCAUAUGUUUUAAAACUUCAAUUUGGCCUUUGGACUUUGUGGGCAGCCUACUGUCAAUGGGCCUUGCCUGGGAGCCCAAGCUUUGGUCUCUUUUCAUGUGGUGUUUAGUCCCACAUUGGAAAGAGACCCUCACUUGCUCUGGUUUAUAUUCUACUUUAUUCUCAUUGUUAUUACUUGGGAAGUGAUGAGAGUGGAGCUCUCGUCUAAAUACACGCACACGAGCACGAGCCGAGCCGGGCCGGGCGGCGGCGCGCGUGAACCCGGUUCACUUUAUUUUUGUUACACUUUUCAUUUUAUUAUUUUAUUUUUGACCUUACCUGGAUUAGGUCCAGAUUUGGUCCAGUCGAAGGGUCGCACCUCGGGACUCAACCAGCCCCAACGGUCUACCUCGGGAAGGUGGUCUUCCCGUUGGAACCCUUCUUUUGCUCUCCUAUUUACUAGGGUGAGUGGCUGGGUUAGGACAGUAGUGACAUACAGAAACCCUAGCCUGAGCUUCUCCCCCUUUCUCUCUUCUCCUUCUUCUUCACUGUUUUGCUGGAUCUCUGAAAAGCUGUGACGGUUCGUUCUUGCACCACCCUGAAGCCGUGCCGACGGGGUGGACGAAGGUCGUUGUAUCGCUAGGAGUGAUUGCCGGCGCCUCGUACGUGGAGGGGCAAUCUUGCUUCUAGGACAGUGCAAUCGCACGCCUCGACUCACAGGCUCCAUCUAAUCCUUUAUUCUCUAUAGUUUUUAUUUAUUUCGUUCUUAAUCAACGUUUCUAAAAACAGUGGAUAAGUUGUUUUCAAACAAAACUGUUUAUACAAAUAUUUGACUAAAGAUUUCAAAAGAGAACUAAUUUUUCCAACAUUCUAGAAGCAAGAUUUUAUUUUCUCUUUCUGUCUUCUUUAGUUUACUGCGUAGAAUACUAUUUUGGCUGUAGGAUAAUAUAUAUGUGCAUGAAACUGAUAUUGCUAUAAUUCGGAAUAUAUAAACCUAAAUAUAUGCAUGCUGUUUUUUUUUAGGUUUACUUGAAAUACUGCUGAUAAUUAAGAUUGUAAUACUGCUAAUAUAAAUAAAUAUAUAUAUAUAUAUUUAUCUGCAUGAUCAUACUGUUACUAAACAUUGUUUAGAAAAAUUUACUGUUAUAUCUGUAAAACUUGGAACAGUCUUGUGAUAUUAUUUUAGGAUUACUUGAAAACAGAUUUGUCAUUAUGGAGGACUCGUAUUCGGCGAAGCCGUUCACUUUCGAUGGUCGUAAUUUUAAGAGGUGGCAGAACCAAAUGAGGUUCUGGCUCACCACACUUGGGCUUGUGUCUGCUAUCUCGGAUCCUGUCGAGAAUAGCAAUGCACCUUCAGGUGCAAUCCAGCCUACGGGCAACCGACCGUUUACUAGGAGCCAAGCCCAAGCCGGAUCCGCUCUUCCCCCCUCUGAAAAUGCAACUGCACCUCCACCUAUAACUGUACCCCUUGUAGAUCCUAACGUGAUAAACUAUCAUUGCCUGAACCGGAUUCUUAGUACCCUAUCUGAUAAACUGUAUGACAUAUUCUGUAGUGCCCAAUCAGCUAGGGAACUUUGGACAUCCUUAGAAAAUAAGUAUGGUCAGGUUGAUCCUACUCAGAAGAGAUACCAAGCUUCAGAUUUGAUUAAAUUCAAAUUAGUGGAUAGUAAACCUAUGUCUGACCAGCUCCAUGAUUUUGAGUAUAUUGUUGAGCAGCUUAGAUCUAGUGGUAUAAAUCUUGAUGAGAGUUUUUUAGUAGCCACUCUUAUAGAUAAGUUGCCACCCUCCUGGUCUAACCAUGCAAAUGAUCUUAACCAUAACCAAAGAGAGCUUUCCCUGAAUUAUGUCCUAAGAUCCAUUAGGAUAGAAGAGUCGAACCGAGCCAAGGAUAAGAAACCUACUGAACCCACUACCCAAGCCAACCUAGUAGAGAAUCCUAAAAAUAAGGGUAGAAACUUUCAGCCUCAUAGGAACUUUAAGAAGAAGCCUUUCCAUCAUAGAAAGUUCAACCCAAACUUUAAGAAGCCUAAACCUGAUGGGAGUGGGAGCAACUCUGGUUGCUUUGUGUGCGGGAAGACCAACCACUUUGCGAAGGAUUGCUAUUUUCGCAAGACUCGGCCUUCUGCACCCAAGAAGAAGAAGAACGGUCCACCUGAGCGCCAGAUGAAUAUGUUGACUGCUGGACCUGACUCUUCUGUCCCUGCUAUCAGGUUAGGAUCUAGUUUAGCUGAAGUUAACCUUACCUUUAGUUCUUCUGAUUGGUGGAUAGAUACCGGAGCAAAUAUUCAUGCAUGUUCUGAUCGCUCUUGGUUUGCCACUUAUCAGGACUCAUGUGGAGGAUCGGUGAACAUGGGGAAUGCAGCCUCUUCUCGCGUGCUUGGGACCGGUCGAGUGGAUUUGAGACUGACUUCUGGGAAGACCCUAACCUUGCACGGAGUCCACCAUGUUCCCGAUAUUAGGAAGAAUUUGAUUAGUGGUUCUCUUUUAGUUCAGCAGGGUUUUAAGUUAGUUUUUGAAUGUAAUAGGGUAGUUAUUACUAAGGGUGUGGAUUUUGUAGGAAAGGGAUUUUUGAGUGAUGGUUUGUUUAAGUUAUCUGUAUCUCCUCCCCCUAUUAAUGAAAGUGCACUUGUUUUGAAUGUUGUUUCAACUGAUGUUUGGCAUGGAAGAUUGGGACAUGUGAAUUAUAAUACUGUUAAGAGAUUAAUGCAUCUAGAUUUGAUUCCUAAAUCUGAUUUGUCUAAUCGUAAAUGUGAAAUUUGUGUGCAGGCUAAGGAGCCUAGAAAACCUUUUAAAUCAGUAGAUAGAGAUUGUGAUAUGUUAGAACUUGUGCAUAGUGAUGUUUGUGAUGGAACUAGACCUACUAGAGGUGGAAAUAAAUAUUUUGUGACUUUCAUAGAUGAUCAUUCGAAGUAUUGUUAUGUUUAUUUGAUCAAGACAAAAGAUGAGGUUUUGAGCAGAUUUAAAAUUUAUAAAGCUGAAGUUGAAAAUCAAUUAGAUAAGAAAAUCAAGAUUUUGAGAUCUGAUCGAGGAGGUGAAUAUACUUCAAAUGAGAUGACUAUUUUCUGUCAAGAAUUUGGAAUUGUACAUCAAGUGACUGCACCUUAUACACCUCAAUCUAAUGGAGUUGCUGAACGCAAAAAUAGAACUUUGAUGGAUAUGGUAAAUUCGAUGAUUAUUAGUUCAGGUGCACCCGAGAACUUGUGGGGGGAAGCUUUGAUUUCUGCAUGUGUGAUUUUAAAUAGGAUUCCCCACAAGAAUUCUAAUAUUUCUCCUUAUGAGCUUUGGAAAGGUAGGAAGCCUAAUUUGAAUUAUUUUAAAGUGUGGGGGUGCCUAGCUAAAGUUAAGAUACCUGAGAACAAGAAAAGGAAGAUUGGUCCUAAGACUGUAGAUACAGUUUUUAUAGGCUAUGCUUUAGAUAGUAACACCAACAGAUUUCUAGUGGUGAAUUCUGAGAUUAGUGAGAUUUCUAAUAAUACCAUUAUUGAAGCUAGAGAUGCAGUGUAUUUUGAGGAUAUCUUUCCUUUUAGGACUAGAGUAGAUAGACCUACUCCAGUUGAGCAUGUAGGUAGCUCUAGUGGUCCUAGAGUUAGUGAGCCUACAGUAGAGGUUGAACCUAGGAGAAGUAAGCGUCCUAGAGUAGAGAAAACUUUUGGAGAUGAUUUUUGUGUCCUACUAGUUGAAGAUACUCCUUCUACCUUUGACCAAGCUAUGAAGUCUGUAGAUGCAUCUUUUUGGAAAGAGGCUAUUAAUCUUGAGAUGCAAUCUAUUCUACAGAAUCAUACUUGGGAAUUAACAGAUUUACCUAUAGGAUGUAAGCCUGUAGGCUGUAGAUGGAUCUUUAAGAAGAAGUUGAGACCUGAUGGUUCUGUAGAAAAGUAUAAGGCUAGACUAGUGGCUCAAGGUUUUGCACAGAAGCCAGGUGUAGAUUAUUUUGAUGUGUAUGCACCUGUUGCUAGAAUUACCUCUAUCAGGAUAUUGUUGGCCUUAGCUUCUGUCCACAGUUUGAUUGUGCAUCAGAUGGAUGUUAAGACAGCUUUUCUGAAUGGUGAUUUAGAUGAGGAGAUCUAUAUGAAGCAACCUGAAGGAUUUGUAGUUUCUGGACAUGAAAAUAAAGUGUGCAAAUUGACGAGAUCUUUAUAUGGACUUAAACAAGCUCCUAAGCAGUGGCACUUGAAAUUUGAUUCUUUAGUUGUAUCAAAUGGAUUUCAUGUAAACAUGUCUGAUGAAUGUGUAUAUUCAAAGGAAUAUGAUGGACAGAUUGUGAUCCUGUGUUUAUAUGUUGAUGAUAUUUUGAUUUUUGGUACCAAUAUAAAUGUGAUACAUGAUGUGAAGAAAUUACUGAAUGAGAAUUUUGAUAUGAAAGAUCUUGGGCAAGCAGAUGUAAUUCUCAAUAUGAAGAUCAUUAGAGAAUCAAAAGAAAUUGUUAUGAGCCAAUCACACUAUAGUGAACAGUUAUUGAAGAAGUUUGGAUAUUUUGAUGUUAAACCUGUAGUGACACCUUAUGAUUCUAGUGUACAUCUUAAGAAGAAUAGAGGUGAUCCAAUUGGUCAGAAUAGAUAUGCACAGAUUAUAGGAUCUUUGGGAUAUCUAGUAGACUAUACUAGACCUGAUUUGGCUUAUGCUGUAAACAGAUUGAGAAGAUAUACCCAUAAUCCGAAUAGAGAUCAUUGGAAUGCUUUAGAAAGAGUUUUGAGGUAUCUAAAGGGAACUAUAUCUUAUGGAUUACAUUACAGUGGCUUUCCUGCAGUACUAGAAGGAUAUAGUGAUGCAAAUUGGAUUAGUGAUACAGCUGAUGUAAAGUCUACUACUGGAUUUGUUUUUCUCCUAGGAGGAGCAGCUGUUUCUUGGAAGUCAACCAAACAAUCUUUGAUUGCUAGAAGUACUAUGGAAUCUGAACUUAUAGCAUUAGAUACCACUGUAAAAGAGGCUAAGUGGAUAAGAGAAUUUCUUUAUGAUUUGCCACUGAUGGAGCGACCUUUAGCACCAGUGUGUAUUCAUUGUGAUUGUAGAUCUGCAAUUGAUAAAUGUGCCCAAGAGAAUGUGGAGACUAAGAUGAAUAGAUUUAUGAAAGUGAGACAUAAGUUCAUUCGACAGAAUAUGAAGGAGAAUGUAAUUGCUUUGGAAUUUGUGAGAUCUGCAAAGAAUCUGGCUGAUCAGCUCACCAAGGGAUUGUCUAGGACUGUGAUCCUAGAAUCGUCGAGGGGGAUGGGGCUUAGCCCACAAUGAAAGUUACCGGCGACGGCAACCCAACCUGUUGCAGGUUCAAUGGGUAGAAACAAGUCGAACAGGUAGCUGUGAGGAGCACUGUUUUUGUAUCCUCAUCCCUAUGGCGACAGUGCUCAUUUCUGCAAGUGGAUAGGAAGGGCUUUAGCCCUGAAUGGUUCCGAGACCCAUGAGGCAGGGUGUGACCUUACAGACACCCUUCUGAGGACCUACUAUGUGUGUGGAGUUGUGAGGCCGCAACUAUGGGAAGAGGGCGGUUCCCUAAAACACACAUGAAACGAUACUAGCGCAUGGCCGUAAUAGCGCUCACCCGCUUAGAACCUAAAUAGCUGUACCAUGUGUGCGGUUUGUGGAAAUCCGAUUCACCGGCCUUGGUUCAAGGCGAAGUCCACCAUUGUGUCCUCGGAUGUACAUAGACAAGCACUAAGUGAAGGUUCAAACCCGAAAGGUACCUUCGCCGAAUACGUGGUAUAAGAGAUCCAGCAUCCUUUUGAGUUAUUUUUUUUUUUUGAAUUUCAGUUUUCAUUUUUGAAGUUUUAAAUCAUGUGGGGGACUGUUAGUAUUUUGAUUUAAAACAAGUGAUUUAAAACUUCUUUAUAUGCUCAUAUGUUUUAAAACUUCAAUUUGGCCUUUGGACUUUGUGGGCAGCCCACUGUCAAUGGGCCUUGCCUGGGAGCCCAAGCUUUGGUCUCUUUUCAUGUGGUGUUUAGUCCCACAUUGGAAAGAGACCCUCACUUGCUCUGGUUUAUAUUCUACUUUAUUCUCAUUGUUAUUACUUGGGAAGUGAUGAGAGUGGAGCUCUCGUCUAAAUACACGCACGCGCGCACGGCACGAGCACGAGCCGAGCCGGGCCGGGCGGCGGCGCGCGUGAACCCGGUUCAUUUUAUUUUUGUUACACUUUUCUUUUAUUAUUUUAUUUUUGGCCUUACCUGGAUUAGGUCCAGAUUUGGUCCAGUCGAAGGGUCGCACCUCGGGACUCAACCAGCCCCAACGGUCUACCUCGGGAAGGUGGUCUUCCCGUUGGAACCCUUCUUUUGCUCUCCUAUUUACUAGGGUGAGUGGCUGGGUUAGGACAGUAGUGACAUACAGUAACCCCAACCUGAGCAUCUCCCCUUUUCUCUCUCCUCCUUCUUCGUCACUGUUUUGCUGGAUCUCUGAAAAGCUGUGACGGUUCGUUCUUGCACCACCCUGAAGCCGUGCCGACGGGGUGGACGAAGGUCGUUGUAUCGCUAGGAGUGAUUGCCGGCGCCUCGUACGUGGAGGGGCAAUCUUGCUUCUAGGACAGUGCAAUCGCACGCCUCGACUCACAGGCUCCAUCUAAUCCUUUAUUCUCUAUAGUUUUUAUUUAUUUCGUUCUUAAUCAACGUUUCUAAAAACAGUGGCUAAGUUGUUUUCAAACAAAAUUGUUUAUACAAAUAUUUGACUAAAGAUUUCGAAAGAGAACUAAUUUAAUUUUUUCCAACACAAAAGAAUAAAAAGGAAAUUCAUACAUAAUGAGUAGUCUCAAAUAGAAUAAUAAAUGCAAAAAUAAAUGAAUAAUGGAAAAUUUUAUAUGCACGCCUAUAUAUAUAGACGUAAAUCUUAUUAAAUUUGAUAAAAUCUAAUCACUAAAAUCAUCCAAUUGGAAAAAUUCUAAACUAAAGUAAGUGAAUGCCAAACAAAAAAAGGGGAAAAAAAAAAUUAAUGAGGCUCUUUUAGAAUGUCGUAUAGUUGAGGAGGUCCAAAUACAAAAGAGUAAAGUUCAAUUUCCCUUUGUGGAUUAGUGUGUUUCCACUUUGACACCAUGUGGAUCAAAAGUUAUUAUAUUUAACUAUCUACUAAUUUUAUUGGAUUAGUGUGUUUCCACUUUGACACCAUGUGGAUCAAAAGUUAUUAUAUUUAACUAUCUACUAAUUUUAUUUAUAUUUUACACUAAAAAUUUAGUGAUAAAUAGUGUAAUGAAAUGAUACAUUUUUACUGUGUUUGACUCGGGUAUAAAUGCGGGGAUAAGGGGGAUAUCUCCCCCUUUACACCUAAACACAUUUUGGGUUGGGUGGGAACACUUGUCCCCACCCAAACCGGGUUGUACAUUUAAAAUUAUAAUUUUAAAUUUUAAUUUCAAAUUUUAAAUUUUAAAAGUUAAAAUUUUUAAUUUUUAAUUUUUAAUUUAAAAUUAUAAGUUUAAAAUUUAAAAAUUUAAAUUCAAUUAUAGGGAUCAUAUCAUUAUUAUCCAUUUAUAACUAACAACUAUUCAUCUUAUUCCCAAUAACCAUCCAAACGCAAUUUUUCUAAUUCCAACUUAUACUUACAUUUAUAUCCAAAUAAAAAAAUACUUUUGUUCUUAUAAAAAUUCAUACUUAUAUCUAUUCCCGAUAUAACUAGUUCCUACUAAUUUCCGAGCUAAACGGAGCCACACUACAGCAUAGAGAAAAAUUAUUAAAUAGUGAAAUACUAUGUCCGUGGUUCCAUCUCUGGUCUGCACUUUGACUAUUUAUUUUUUAUUAUAAAUUCGUACUAUAAAAUAAAAAUAACAUUGUAGAGUAAUUAAAUAUAAUUUAUUAAUCACCUUAUAUAUAGAGUAAUUAAAUAUAAUUUAUUAAUCAUAGGGGGAUGAAGCCGAAGUUCGUGCUCAACCACACAGAGACAAAUUAAAUUAAGUUUACCCAAAAAGGAAAAGGAAAAAAAUGGUGACAAUUCCUGGCUAACUAUAUUAAAUAAACAGUACAUUGGGACAUUAAUUCCACAAAUAAUAUAUAGAUCAAAAGGCCCUCUCUGUUUGUUAUUAGUACGUUUAUUCCUUAAAAAUACUUUUGUUUUUUUCCCAUUAAUAUUCAUGGGGUAAACCUGAAUUAAUGCAGUGGGUAUAUACCCUUCAAGACUUCGGAUAUAUUUUAAUUUAUUUCUAUUUUUUUUGUUUUAUAUAUAUCCUUCAUACGUUCCUUCGUUAUUCAAAAAUGUCCCCGCAGUUAUCAUUCGUUAAGUUAUCUCAGAUUAAAAAUGAGUUAAAUAUCUAUCAUGGUUAAAAAAAAAAUAAAAUACUGUUUUUACGCUUAACUUAGGGCAAAUAAGAAAAAUUUAUAAUGGUAAGAGGGUAUAUUUGAAAAAAUAAAAAAAUAAAAUACUUCUUGUACUCCCAACUCAAGGAUAAAUAAGAAAAAUUAGUAAAAGUAGAAAAAUAUAUUUGAAAGAAUAAAAUAGUAAUUUUAUAAAGAUAACGGCUGUAGCGAAUAGUUUGCUAACAGAAUUUAACUCUAAAGUAUAUUUGAAAUAAUUUGAAAAAUUAAGAAAAUAUUUUUACUAUUAGUUUUCUAAGAGGGAUAAAUUAAAAAAUCGAAAAUUUUUGGAGAUUUUAUAAAUAAUUGCCCUUAUAUAUUUUUACCGUGGUUUAUUGUAAUUUCAAACGGAGCCUAUAAUAGUAGAUCUCACAUGAGAUAGGCAAUGACCAUGAUGUUGCUUUUGUUACGUGGCCAAGAUUACGAAGAACAAGGAUGAGAAGGAGAAGGAAUUUGAUAUUCCUAUGGAAUGUUUUGUAUUGCUAGAGCAAGAUAGAUCAAACUUGGGUUAGAUCAAACUUGGGUUAGAUACAGAGAAGUGAUAUUUUUGAGAUUUACAUCCCCCGCUUGAGAAUAAACCCAAUUAAAGUCCGAAAUUGAACUCCUAAUUGGUGUCUGAAAUGGAGUGUCUUUUUCUCUCUCUCUGUUUUUUUUUUUUUGUUUUUUGUUUUUACUUCCUCUCUUUAGGCAAAUUGCAUGUUUGGUCCUCAAACUACCAGUCAUUUUACAUUUUGGUCCUAGCUAAGACGUUAAUUUAUUGUAAUAUCUAACUUGAACUUUCAGAAUUGUUACAAUUACUACAAUCCUAUUUAGUUGACUAAAUAUUGAUAAUCGAAUUGCUAAAAUAAAAAUGAUAAAGCAAUAUUGUGAUUAAUUAAUGAUGCGUCUAUAAUUAAGAUGUUAUAUUACUUUGACAUCAGCGAUGAGUUAACAUUUAGUUAAUUAAAUGGUUUGUAGGAUAUUAUUACAACAAUGCUAAAAAUUCAAACCUUAAAUUACAAUAAAUUAAAAUUUAAGAAUUAAACUGUCACGAGACUCACAGUUUGAGAACUAAAUUUGCAAUUUAUCCUUUUAUCCUUUUUUUGAGUCAAAAGAGGAGCAACAUAUUGGCUAAAUUAGCUAGGUUUGAAUUUUUAGCAUUGUUGUAAUAAUAUCCUACANAAGAUGUUAUAUUACUUUGACAUCAGCGAUGAGUUAACAUUUAGUUAAUUAAAUGGUUUGUAGGAUAUUAUUACAACAAUGCUAAAAAUUCAAACUUUAAAUUACAACAAAUUAAAAUUUAAGAAUUAAACUGUCACGAGACUCACAGUUUGAGAACUAAAUUUGCAAUUUAUCCUUUUAUCCUUUUUUAUCCUUUUAUCCUUUUUUUGAGUCAAAAGAGGAGCAACAUAUUGGCUAAAUUAGCUAGGUUUGGAACUUCUUUUUUUUUUCUUUUUUUUUUUGGUUCCUUACAAAUGAUUUUGGAUUAGUGUUGUACUUACGCACAAACCCCACGUACCGAUAAAACUUCAAUAGGAAGCUUCUCAAUGAGUCUUUGGGAGCCCUUAAUUUGCUCCCACGUGUUAAUUAAUUUUACCUCUAUUUAAGAGUAAAUUGGGUGCUUUUAAUACUUUUUUUUGAGAAAAAGGUAGCAUGCUAUCCGCUUCAUUCAUUCGGGACGUGAAUUAAGCUACAUGGGUGAAGCAUCAGGGCCUCAAGGAUGACGAAACAAAGAAAAGAAGGAUGUUGUUUACAAAGUACAGUUAAAUCCGUUAUACUGUCAACAAGAUCUAUCUAUAGAUCAGAAAUUCCCCUACUGAGCCAUUAAGCAUUUGAUCUUAUGGGUCCCAUGUAUAGGGUCCGCCUGGGCCUUCGUAAAAAUCGCUCCGUUCCUAGUCUCCUACACCACCCACCAGCAAGCUAUAAUACCACUUAAACCGUUACUCGUGGGUUGUGCCCCCUUCCGACCUUUCCAAAAAUCCCACACCUGGUGUACGUCAUCUCCCAAGUCUCCUGGUUGGACAUCCUCCAGUGACAUCACCAUAAGGAAUCUAAAGAACACACACUAAGUAAAGAGAUGAUCAAUCGUUUCUAGAUCCGACCCGCAAAGCACACAGCUCGUAUUCCCAAGCCAACCUCUUUUUAACAAGUUAUCUACAGUGAGUAUUUUCUUCUUAAGCACAAGCCAACAGAAAACCUUCACUUUAAGGGGGAUACAAAGUCUCCAAAUCUCAUAAGCCCUGGCAUCCCUCAUUCCUCCAUCACUUAACGCAACAUAUGUAGAUCUCACAGUAAAACGACCAUCAAGGUUCCACCGCCAAUACACACUGUCCUUUCCUUGACCAGUUCUGUAGCUGGAGAUCCUUUCCUUCAGUGCCACGAUGCGUAGGUGUACUCAUUGAACAGUAGUGUUGACGCUACUUAGAAUCUUAUGCCAACACCAUUCAUUACCAUUGGAGCAUUCACUGAUUAACAGGUUUUUAUGGGGCAGGAGAGGGGACAACUCUGGAAAAAAUGACAGAAGUGUGGUUUUCCCACACCACUGGUCCUUCCAAAAAUCAAAACUUUGCCCAUUACCCAAUUUAUAGGACACUCCCCAUUUAAAAAUAUCUUUCUAUCCUAGUACUCCUUUCCACCAAAAGGAGAAUGGUCUAAAGCUCUGACCCUCCUUCAACGGUCUUCUCCCUAGGUAGAACAAUACAUGAAUUAACUUAUUCCAUUGUAGUUCAGGCGCGGUAUAGAAUUUCCACCACCAUUUAACCAGAAGCGCUUGAUUCAUCAAAGCCAUAUCUAGGAUACCAAGCCCACCCUCCUUCUUGCUUCUACAGACGCUCUUCCAAGACACGAGGCAACCCUUGCCAGGCGAGGUGAGGCCACCUUUCCAAAAGAAAUCCCGCCGUAGUGUCUCAAUGCGUUUAACGACCUAUUUGGGUGUCUGGAACACAGCGAGAUAAUAUAGGGGUAGGUUAGUGAGAACAGCGUUAGCUAGAAUGAGUCUACCACCCUGCGACAGUAGUUUCGCUUGUCAUCCAUCGAUUCUACUCUAUAUCUUGCCGAUGAUUUCCCUUCAAUCCUCAUUGGACGGGGGUCUGAUCGUCAACGGCAAACCCAAGUACUUGGUCGGUAAACUACCGAGUUUGCAUCCGAGUAUAUGCGCUAACCUUCUCGCUUUUCCUUCCACCAGGCCCAUAUAAAAAAUUUUCGACUUCUCUCUGUUGAUUCUCAUUCCAGAUGCCCAUUCAAAAAGUUUCCAAAGAAAAAGGUGGUUUCUCAUAUAUCUCUUCUUGGCCUCACAGAAGAAGAAAUAUCAUCUGCAAAUUGGAUAAUGUGGACCCUUGAUUCGUCAGAGGGACCGAUACCGCUAAUAAGGUUGUUCGUUGAUGCUUCAUCCGUUAGCCUGGCAAGGCACUCUGCUAUAAGCAGGAAGAGGAAAGGUGAUAAAGGGUCGCCCUGCCGUAACCCCUUUUCAUCUUUAUCAAGUUCGUUGGUAUGCCAUUAACCAAUAUUGCGACCUUGGCAUUGUAGACACUUAGUUUGAUCCAGUUGAUCCACUUCAUGUCAAAUCCCCACCACUCCAAAGUACGAAAUAGGAAAAGCCAGUAGAUUCGAUCAUACGCCUUCUCAAAGUCCCACUUUUAUCCCGAUUCCCUCAAUCCCCUGCUUACUCCCCCAACCAAAUAGUUCGUGUACCGUUACAAAAGCAUCAGAGAUGUUUCUUCCCUUCAGGAAGGCCAAUUGGAAAUGGGAAUCAGGUUACCCAUAAUAAGCUCCAACCGAUUUGCUAAAACCUUGGAUAGAAUCUUCUGGAUCUCGUUCAGGAGAUUUAUAGGGCGAAAAUCAUUUGCCCGGUUAGCUGCUUCCUUUUUCGGGAUUAGGCAGAUGUAGGCGUAAUCAAUAGGGCUGGUGAUUAGCAUCCUCUCAAACAUCUCGUGAAAAAUAUUCAUGAUAUCCUCCUUUAUAGUAUUCCAAAAGGAUUGGUAGAAACUCAGAGGGAAACCAUCCGGCCUAGGCACCUUGUCGCUGCCUAGCUGAAAAACGGCCUGUUUAAUUUUUUCAGCACUGAAUGGUCUCGUAAUGUGCGUUAGGUUGCUAGUAUCGACCCGCCUUGUCUUAAAGAGCUCACUCCAAUCUCCGAAUGAAGACGGUGCCCAAUCAUCUGGUGUGAAUAGGUUCUUGAAUUUCUGGAAUAGUAAGUUAUGCUUCUCAUCUUCAGAUUGAUACACCCUUCCUUCCUCUUCUAACGAGUCAAUUCUGUUCACUCUUCUACGACUAUUGGCUACAGCGUGGAAGAAUUUGAUAUUACUAUCGCCUUCCCAUAACCAGUGUUGUUUCGCUCUAGUUUUCCACAAUACUUCCUCGUCUUUAAGCACCCCAAAUAGUUUAUUUUUAAGUUCCUCCCUCUUCUUGACUAAAUCUUGAGAUAAGUGAUUCAUUUCUUCCUCUUUGUCGAUGUCCAGAAUGUCCUCCAAGAGUUUAGUCUUAGCUCGUCUAAUACUGUAGAACUCGUUAGUACACCACUCUUUUAUUCUUCUACGGCAGUGUCUCAAUUUCGCUGUGAAUGUAAGAACUGCCGAUUUAUUCUUACGGCCCUCCGCCCACCACCCAGGCAGCUUGGACCGAAAGUCCUUGUGGUUAAGCCAAGCAGCCUCGAACCGGAAAGUCGUCCUCGUUCUCGUCAAAUUAUUCGUAACCGAUAAAAUGAUGGGGUUGUGGUCCGAAACCACUCUGGGAAGACCGAUCACCUUGGAUAUGGGGAAUUCCUGAUCCCAAUCAGUUGACACUAGGAAUCGGUCCAGUCUAGCCAAGGGAGGGGACUUCUGUAGAUUGGACCACCACGUGAACGAUUGAUUUGUCAUAGGGAGAUCAAUUAAUUCGAGAUCCCUGAUGAGAUUGUUAAAUAAAUCCGUCGCUCUAGAACUCCAAAUCUUCUCUUUUCGCUCGUGUUGUCCUCUAGUACAAUUAAAGUUCCCGCACAUGACCUAUUUUCCCUUACAACAAUCCUUCAAGAGCAAUAAUUUCGAAAAGAAGUACUCCUUACCAUCCCAAGAAGCUGGUCCGUAUACAUUCGUGACAAAGAACCGUGUUCCACCGUUAACCAUUUCCAAAAGAACUGAGAUGGAAUAGUUUCUAACAAUCACUUCUUUACAACUAAAAAUCAUGAGCUCCAACAAGUAAUCAGUCCGCCGAACAUGCCAUUAGAUUCGAGAAAAACACAUUUGGCAAGGAAAGACCCAGCUAAACUGCGAAGGAAGGAACCCAAAACAUAAUUGACCUUAGAUUCCUGGAAACACACUAUUGUGUUGCGUAAGUUAGAUAUUACAUCCCGCACCACAAAACAUUUAGAGGGAUCGUUAAGCCCUUUACCAUUCCAGCUACAAACACAAAAUAUUACAACAGCGUAGACACCACUCCCAAAAAGUGACCAAAAAGUGUCCACGACCAGGACCACAUAUCCCUCCAAGUACUCAUAUGUUCGCGAACUUAACGAAUUUCUUCGCCUCCUCUCUAUCCAGUCUCACCCCGCAGCAACCGCUUUUGUACACAAUCUUCCUUAACGUGUUCUCAGAGACGCCGCCGCUGUCCCCCUCUUGCAAUCGCUUCUUUCUUAUCAGUGCUUUGUAUAGGAUUGAGGUCCUAUCGGUACAAGCGAGCCUCGCAGUGACUCGAGUAAGGGUGAGAUUCUUCUUCUUCAGCAAUAUGGUUGACCCCAUCCCAAACUGGGCCGGGUUCCCACCCCCAUCAUUGGGCCUCCCUCCCUGACUCGAUAGCUCAGCACCAUCCCCUGCCCAAAACUCCGUCUCGAUACACUCGAAAAAGUCGGAGCGUUGACCUCCUCAAGGGAUCACGGUCCACUCCUCGAUCCCGGAGAGUGAGUCGUGGGUGACUUCCCCUACACCCGGUCUUCCACCAGUCAAAGCACCAAUGUUAAACCCCAUAGUGGAGUCCCAGUCCCCUAGGUGGGCACACACUCCCGUGAAAAGACCCACCACCACCUUGGAAAAAACUUCCCCUACACACAACAUCACAUGGUCCCCUCUAAUAAGCAUUAGUCUUUCCCUUCUCACUGCUUUCCACCAGGUUUGAGGGUAGUCCAGAUGGUUGAAACAACCUCCUCCUAGCCUCGGGCCUCUCCACCCCUGACCCAGCCUUAAAUGCAUCAAACAAAAAUGAGGAAAUACACUGCAAACUCAGCUCCCCACCCACCCUUUCCACCCCCUUUUUCGCGAAAUUUUCAAAUUUCACAAUCCACCUCCCCAUCGUCGCCCUCAGCCGGCGCGCCCCUCGCUGACCGCGCUCGGUAGUCGCGCUCACCAGGCCCGAUGCGAGCGCCAGAUGUUGGGCAGCCCUCGGACGCCCUAUCACCCCCGUCAGAGAUCGGCAUACUGUCGAAGAACUCGACGAAGAUCGGCACGCCCAUCGCUGGCCUCGUUCGGUCGGUGUGCUCACCAGGCCCGAUGCGAACCGCUGACGUUGGGCAGCCCCUGGUCGCCCAAUCAUCCCCGCCGACGAUCGGUGUACCGGCAGAGAACACGGCGAAGAUCGCUGCUCCACUGGUUCGCCUGGUGGUCGGCGACUCGGCGGACUCUCUGAUCCGACUUCAUCGAUUCCGCCUUCGUCCUCGCCAGUUACCUGCUCGUUUAUCUCAUGAUCAUUAGUGGCCUGAUUGUCAGGCCGUUCCAUGCCUCCCUGCUAGUUACCAUUACCGUUCCCUUCCUGUGGUGGGCCUGGUGGAUAGCCACUAGCUCCGUCGACAGCUCGCUCUCAGCUUUCAAGAUGUACCACCACAGGAAAACGUUCCUCUCCCAGCACGAUCGACAGAUUCUGUAGGAUGUCGGUCAGUGUGUCCAGCAUGAUCUGACAUCGGAAUGCCAGGAGAUCCGUCAUCGCCUUCGUCACCUCAUCAGCCUUGACGAACUUUUCGAACCCACACACUAUCGCCGCAACUCGGGCAACAGUCCAGCAUUCAAAGGGUAGGUUAAUCAAUCUGAACCACACUCGGAAGCCCAUCCGGUGUGGCUGUGCAUCCCGGUAUAGGCCCUAGGCGAAACAUCGCAGCCAGAAGCCGUCCAAGGUGAGAAUUUCCCUUCUAGCGAUCACUUUCGCAGACACCCACUCCGGUAGGAAGAUUGCGAAGUCGCGCUCCCGAAAACGGGCAACGGCAAAAUCUUGGGUGUAUCCUCCGAACUGUCAUGCCAGUGCGUUCGCGAUGGUAUGGGUGGGAUCCGGACCUAAGUUCGCCGGCUGGAUCACAUCGGCCAAUGCUGCUUUCCGUCGUUGUUCCCUCCUUCGCAGAAAUUCCUCUGUAUACGGGACAUACACUCCCGGUGUACGUUCCCAUCGCUGCAGCACCCUGUUCAUCCUUUCUCUAACUAAACUAACUUUUUCCUUGCAGGUAGAUGCUCGGUGCCCGGAUCUACGGCACCUAACGCACUUGACAGGGUCUCGACAGUCGGCUAUCCAGUGAUCCGAAGUUAGGCAUCGGAAGCACUUUCCACCACGCCUCCUGCUCGUGUUAUUUUUGGCACUUUGGCUGAAGGAGUGCUGAGUUCUGGAUGGUGAAUUGGAAGGUUGUGAUCCCGGCCCCCUCAGGAGCACCUCUUUAUAAGACCUUGCCUCAGUAAAUUCUGAUUUACACCUUCCACCUACCCUCCUGUCACUUCUCGUCCAUAAAUCUCCAGGUGGAUCUCCUACAUCUUCCCCCCUUCCUCUUUGCAGCUCAGUAGUAACUCCUUCCCCUAAACCUCGAGUCGUGAUAAUUCCAAAAUCAGGAAAGGUCGAGUGUUCACCAUUAAUGAGGUCCUUGCUCACCAGUAAAUUCCUACCAACCUCGUCUGCCCAAACCACUAUCUUCACGACUUUUUUUUUUCUUCCUAUCUUCCUGUACCGGCCUCCUCUCCUCUGCUACUUUCUUCCCCUCCCCAAACACGUCGCCAUUCCAAGUCAAGUUCGAGAAGGGGUGCUUUUAAUACUAAAACCCAAAACUAUAUACAUAUAAACACUAGGCGAAAGAAUUUUUACAUUUGAAUAGAGAUGAAACUAACACGUAGUAGUGGAUCAAAACUACUCAAUGAAGCCUCACUGGGGAGCUCCCCACUGAAGUUUCUUUCCCCACAUACUGCUAUAAGAGUGAGAUCGCUCACAAAUGGACCAAAAUAAUAUUAAAAUUCAUACUGAAAAAUAUUUUAGCUAUCAUUAGAUAUAGAUCUCCAGCUUCAGAAAAAAAGAAAAAGAAAAACUUCAAAUACGCCCCUUACGAUUUAGCAUUUUAUCACUUUACUACUUUAUGAUUUAAAGUAUAUCAUUUUAAUAUAUGUGAUUUUAUUUUUCUCUUUCCAUCGGUCUUUUCGUUAACUUCUCUAUUAAAGCAUAUAGACAAAACUUCAUAUACCUCCCAUGUGAUUUACCGAAUUUUUAUUUUAGUACUUCGUAUUUUUAAUUUUAUAGUCGGUUUAACAAAAAGGUUAAUGAAAGGGGUAACGAAAGAGAAAAUGAAAAUCACAUAAUAUUAAAGUGAUACGCUUUAAAUUAUAGAGUUUAAGAAAGUGGUAAACCACAUGAGAGGGUACUUGAAGUUUUGUCUAUAUGAAAAAAACUUAUUCCUUCCUAUACCAAGUANCCAAGAUGGAAUAGUUUCUAACAAUCACUUCUUUACAACUAAAAACUCGUGAGCUCCAACAAGUAAUCAGUCCGCCGGACAUGCCAUUAGAUUCGAGAAAAACAUAUUUGGCAAGAAAAGACCCAACUAAACUGCGAAGGAAGGAACCCAAAACAUAAUUGACCUUAGAUUCUUGGAAACACGCUACUGUGUUGCGUAAGUUAGAUAUUACAUCGCGCACCACAAAACAUUUAGAGGGAUCGUUAAGCCCUCUAACAUUCCAGCUACAAACACAAAACAUUACAAUAGCGUAGACACCACCCCCAAAAGGUGACCAAAAAGUGUCCACGACCAGGACCACAUAUCCCUCCAAGUGCUCAUAUGUUCGCGAACUAAAUGAAUUUCUUCGCCUCCGCUCCAUCCAGUCUCACCCCGCAGCAGCCGCACUUGUGCACGAUCUUCCUCAACGUGUUCUCAGAGACGCCACAGCCUUACCUCUCUUGCAACCGCUUCUUUCUUAUUAGUGCUUUGCAUAGAAUUGAGGUCCUAUAGGUACAAGCGAGCCUCGCACUGACUCGAGUAGAGGUGAGAUCUUUCUUCUUCAGCAAUAUGGUUGACCCCAUCCCAAACUGGGCCGGGGUCCCACCCCCAUCAUUGGGCCUCCCUCCCUGACUCGAGAGCUCAGCAUCAUCCCCUGCUCGAAACUCCGUCUCGGUACACUCGAAAAAGUCAGAGCGUUGACCUCCUCAAGGGAUCACGAUCCACUCCUCAACCCCGGAGCGUGAGUCGUGGGUGACUUCCCCUGCACCCGGUCUUCCACCAGCCAAAGCACCAAUGUUAAACCCCAUAGUGGAGUCCCAGUCCCCUAGGUGGGCACACACCCCCGUGAAAAGACCCACCACCACCUUGGAAAAAACUCUCCCUACACACAACAUCACAUGGUCCCCUCUAAUAAGCAUUAAAGUCUUUUCCUUCUCACUGCUUUCCACCAGGUUUGAGGGUAGUCCAGAUGGUUGAAACAACCCCUUCCUAGCCUCGGGCCUCUCCACCCCUGACCCAGCCUUAAAUGCAUCAAACAAAAAUGGAAAAAUACACUGCAAACUCAGCUCCCCACCCACCCCUUCCACCCCCUUUUUCACCAAAUUUUUGAAUUUCACAAUCCACCUCCCCGCCGUCGCCUUCAGCCAGCGCGCCCCUCGCUGACCGCGCUCGAUCGUCGCGCUCACCAGGCCCGAUGCGAGCGCCAGACAUUGGGCAGCCCUCGGACGCCCUAUCAUCCCCGCCGGAGAUCGGCGUACCGUCGAAGAACUCAACGAAGAUCAGCAUGCCCAUCGCUGACUGCGCUCGGUCGGUGCGCUCACCAGGCCCGAUGCAAACCACUGACGUUGGGCAGCCCCCGGUCGCCCAAUCAUCCCCGCCGGCGAUCUGUGUACCGGCAGAGAACACAGCGAAGAUCGCUGCUCCACUGGUUCGCCUGGUGGUCGGUGACUCGGUGAACUCUCUGAUCCGAUGAAACCAAGAUGGAAUAGUUUCUAACAAUCACUUCUUUACAACUAAAAACUCGUGAGCUCCAACAAGUAAUCAGUCCGCCGGACAUGCCAUUAGAUUCGAGAAAAACACAUUUGGCAAGAAANNNNNNNNNNNNNNNNNNNNNNNNNNNNNNNNNNNNNNNNNNNNNNNNNNNNNNNNNNNNNNNNNNNNNNNNNNNNNNNNNNNNNNNNNNNNNNNNNNNNNNNNNNNNNNNNNNNNNNNNNNNNNNNNNNNNNNNNNNNNNNNNNNNNNNNNNNNNNNNNNNNNNNNNNNNNNNNNNNNNNNNNNNNNNNNNNNNNNNNNNNNNNNNNNNNNNNNNNNNNNNNNNNNNNNNNNNNNNNNNNNNNNNNNNNNNNNNNNNNNNNNNNNNNNNNNNNNNNNNNNNNNNNNNNNNNNNNNNNNNNNNNNNNNNNNNNNNNNNNNNNNNNNNNNNNNNNNNNNNNNNNNNNNNNNNNNNNNNNNNNNNNNNNNNNNNNNNNNNNNNNNNNNNNNNNNNNNNNNNNNNNNNNNNNNNNNNNNNNNNNNNNNNNNNNNNNNNNNNNNNNNNNNNNNNNNNNNNNNNNNNNNNNNNNNNNNNNNNNNNNNNNNNNNNNNNNNNNNNNNNNNNNNNNNNNNNNNNNNNNNNNNNNNNNNNNNNNNNNNNNNNNNNNNNNNNNNNNNNNNNNNNNNNNNNNNNNNNNNNNNNNNNNNNNNNNNNNNNNNNNNNNNNNNNNNNNNNNNNNNNNNNNNNNNNNNNNNNNNNNNNNNNNNNNNNNNNNNNNNNNNNNNNNNNAGCCGCAGCUUUUUUCUUCUUCCUUUUCAUCUCCUCCACCAUCUCCCUCCUUGUCUUCUUUGGCUGAGGGUGGUGCUGGGCACUCCCCUCCCUCUGGCCCCUCGUCGGUACUUCCCCCGAAGUCCCGGCGACCCUCCCUAUCCACUAUUGCCACCCCCGACCGCGGCCGCCGUGCUGUAGCCACCCUGCUGCCACCUCGGGGGGAUCUUGGCCGAGCCGACUUGCAACCUCUCUACUCACGCCGCCGUCGCCUGAGGCCGCCCCUGCUGCCUCCCUUGUAACCCUAGUGACCCUUUCCGCCGGUCAUCGCCGUCCCUGCGGGCCAUAGACAUCGCCUUUAGCAGCCAGCGGCCUCCCCAGAUCUGCUCGGGCCGAGGGUGAAGCCAAGCUUCUCCUCGCGCCACCGCCACCUGGGAUCAGCCGCGCCGGUUCCCUCUAGCCUCCGGCAGUUCUCCACCGUCGCCCCUGAGCUCCUCGCCGGUCGUCGUUGCCGCCAUUACUCCUGAACCCGAACCCUAGCCGGUGCGGGCUCGGGUUGCUNCCGCGCUCGAUCGUCGCGCUCACCAGGCCCGAUGCGAGCGCCAGACAUUGGGCAGCCCUCGGACGCCCUAUCAUCCCCGCCGGAGAUCGGCGUACUGUCGAAGAACUCAACGAAGAUCAGCAUGCCCAUCGCUGACUGCGUUCGGUCGGUGCGCUCACCAGGCCCGAUGCAAAUCACUGACGUUGGGCAGCCCCCGGUCGCCCAAUCAUCCCCGCCGGCGAUCUGUGUACCGGCAGAGAACACAGCGAAGAUCGCUGCUCCACUGGUUCGCCUGGUGGUCGGUGACUCGGUGAACUCUCUGAUCCGACUUCAUCGAUUCCGCCUUCGUCCUCGCCAGUUACCUGCUCGUUCAUCCCAUGAUCAUUAAUUGCCUGAUUGUCAGGCCGUUCCAUGCCUCCCUGCUAGUUACCAUUACCGUUCCCUUCCUAUGGUGGGCUUGGUGGAUAGCCUCUAGCUCCGUCGACAGCCCACUCUCAGCUUUCGAGAUGUACCACCAUAAGAAAACGUUCCUCUCCCAACACGAUCGACAGAUUCUGCGGGAUGUCGGUCAGUGUGCUCAGCAUGAUCUGACAUUGGAAUGCCAGGAGAUCCGUCAUCGCCUUCGUCGCCUCAUCAACCUUGACGAACCUUCCGAACCCACACACUAUCGCCACAACUCUGGCAACAGUCCAGCAUUCAAAGGGUAGGUUAAUCAACCUGAACCACGCUCGGAAGCCCAUACGGUGUGGUUGCGCGUCCCGGUAUGGGCCCUAGGCAAAACAACGCAGCCAGAAGCCGUCCAAGGUGAGAAUUUCCCUCCUAGCGAUCACUUCCGCAGACACCCACUCCGGUAGGAAGAUUGCGAAGUUGCGUUCCCGAAAACAGGCAACGGCAAAAUCUUGGGUGUAUCCUCCGAACCGUCGUGCCAGUGCGUUCGCGAUGGUCCGGGUGGGAUCCGGACCUAAGUUCGCCGGCUGGAUCACAUCGGCCAACACUACUUUCCGUCGUUGUUCCCUCACUCGCAGAAAUUCCUCUGUAUACGGGACAUACACUCCCGGCGUACGUUCCCAUCACUGCAGCACCCUGUUCAUCCUUUCUCUAGCUAAAUUAACUUUUUCCUUGCAGGUAGAUGCUCGGUGCCCGGAUCUACGGCACCUAACGCACUUGACAGGGUCUCGACAGUCGGCUAUCCAGUGGUCCGAAGUUAGGCACCAGAAGCACUUUCCGCCACGCCUUCUGCUCGUGUUAUUUUUGGCACUUCGGCUGAAGGAGUGCUGAGUUUUGGAUGGUGAAUUGGAAGGUUGUGAUCCCGACCCCCUGAAGAGCACCUCUUUAUAAGACCUUGCCUCAAUAAAUUCUGAUUUACACCUUCCACCUACCCUCCUGUCACUUCUUGUCCAUGAAUCUCUAGGUGGAUCUCCUACAUCUUCCCCCCUCCUCUUUGCAACUCAGUAGUAACUCCUUCCCCUAAACCUCGAGUCGUGGUAAUUCCAGAAUCAAGAAAGGUCGAGUCUUCACCCUAAUGAGGUCCUUGCCCACCAGUAAAUUCCUACCAACCUCGUCUGCCCAAACCACUCUCUUCACGACUUUUUUUUUCUUCCUAUCUUCCUGUACCGACCUCCUCUCCUAUGCUACUUUCUUCCCCAAACACGUCGCCAUUCCGAGUCAAGUUCAAGAAGGGGUGCUUUUAAUACUAAAACCCAAAACUAUAUACAUAUAAACACUAGGCGAAAGAAUUUUUACAUUUGAAUAGAGAUGAAACUAACACGUAGCAGUGGAUCGAGACUACUCAAUGAAGCCUCACUGGGAGCUCCCCACUGAAGUUUCUUUCCCCACAUACUGCUAUAAGAGUGAGGUCGCUCACAGAUGGACCAAAAUAAUAUUAAAAUUCAUAUCGAGAAAUAUUUUAGCUAUAAUUAGAUAUAGAUCUCCAGCUUCAGAAAAAAAGAAAAAGAAAAACUUCAAAUACCCCCCUUACGAUUUAGCCUUUUAUCACUUUACUACUUUGUGAUUUAAAGUAUAUCAUUUUAAUAUAUGUGAUUUUAUUUUUCUCUUUCCUUCGGUCUUUUCGUUAACUUCUCUAUUAAAGCAUAUAGACAAAACUUCAUAUACCUCCCAUGUGAUUUGCCGAAUUUUUAUUUUAGUACUUCGUAUUUUUAAUUUUAUAGUCGGUUUAACAAAAAGGUUAAUGAAAGGGGUAACAAACGAGAAAAUGAAAAUCAGAUAAUAUUAAAGUGAUACACUUUAAAUUAUAGAGUUUAAGAAAGUGGUAAACCACAUGAGAGGGUACUUAAAGUUUUUUCAAAAAAAAAAAAAACUUAUUCCUUCCUAUACUAAGUAUACAAAUACAUUAGCAAGUAAAAAAAGAAAAAAAAAAUAGGAGAUAGCAAGCCCGAGCGUACAACUCAAAUGAGCAGGAUUAGUUUGACGGUCUACCAUUCAGCUUCGCUUGGGAUUGCGAAAAGUAUAUGUAAGGACCGAGAUUUUGGCAGUAUAGCUAAACUCUCUGUUGAUGAUAUUUUUGUGUGUAUUUUAAUUACAAAAGCACUCGUCAAGUUUCGAAAGAAAAUGAGUUUGAAUGGAAAAGUUACGCGACUUUUACUUUUCACUUAAAGUAAAUAGUAACUCGGAUUUUCGGAGAGGCCAAGGUGUAGAGAUGGCUUCUGACGCGUAUCGGACUCCGUUCAUAGCGAUCCAAUAGCUCGUUUUUAAUGGUUCGACUAUUUUGGAACCAAUGGCGCUGACGGAUUUUAGGUUUUACGCACGGUUUUUGAGAAAACUGGAGAUACAUAUAUUCUAUGUAUUUGUAUGUCGUUUUGUCUAUUUGAGAGAGAUUGCAUUUUGUCGUGAAUCUGGGACCGAACCAGGCAAACCAAAAUCGUGAGUUUGUUGUCUCUGUCGUGUUGAUCGUACUAUGCGAUCCGUUCGCAAAUCUGACGGACGGAUCUUCUGAUAUCGUGCGUCGAUCGAGGAGGGGACUUAGAUGGCAAAACGAUAAUUUUGUGAAAAGCUCGACAUUUUAUGUUCCGUUUUACAUGAAAUUGGCUUUGGGGGUAUGUUCGCACGUUUUACCAGCUCUGUGAGGGACUCUGUUAAAAAUAUCCGAGUUUGGAGGACUUUUGCGCAAAUCGAGCACUUGUAUAUAUAGCCUUCUAGGGUUUGCACCAUGCAAACCCUAGCCCCCUUUAGCUCCCAGCUAACCUAGCUGCCCCUCCUCCCUCACCUCGAGUGCCGCGCACCUCCCGGCCACCGUCGACCGAGCCUCGGCCGGCCAGCCAUAGCCGCAGCUUUUUUCUUCUUCCUUUUCAUCUCCUCCACCAUCUCCCUCCUUGUCUUCUUUGGCUGAGGGUGGUGCUGGGCACUCCCCUCCCUCUGGCCCCUCUCCGGUACUUUCCCCGAAGUCCCGGCGACCUUCCCUAUCUACUGUUGUCGCCCCCAACCGCGGCCGCCGUGCUAUAGCCACCCUGCUGCCACCUCGGGGGAUCUUGGCCGAGCCGACUUGCAACCCCUCUACUCACGCUGCCGCCGCCUGAGGCCGCCCCUACUGCCUCCCUCGGAACCCCGGUGAACCUUUCCGUCUGUCGUCGCCGUCCCUGCGGGCCACAGUCGCCGCCUCUAGCAGCCAGCGGCCUCCCUAGAUCUCCUCGGGCCGAGGGUGAAGCCAAGCUUCUCCUCGCGCCGCCACCGCCACCUGGGAUCAGCCGCGUCGGUUCCCUCUGGCCUCCGGCAGUUCUCCACCGUCGCCCCUGAGCUCCCCGCCGGUCGCCGUGGCCGCCAUUGCUCCUGAACCCGAACCCUAGCCGGUGCGGGCUCGGGUUGCUCCAGCACCGCCGCCGCCGCCUCCCGCCACCGGCCGGCUCGAGCACCGGCCUUCCCCCGUCGACUGCACCCGUCUGCCGCCGGUGGACCCGCCGCCGGCCGUGCCCUAGCUUCUACUACUCCGGUAAUCUUAGUCUAGGGCUUUUGAUUACUGUUUUGGGUUGCGCAUGCUUUUCCGGCGAUUUGAGGCUGUCCCGAUGGCUCUGGAGGUGAGCACGGUGAUCCCUGGUCAGUGUUGAUCACAGUGCUCACCUCACUUAGGAUCAGUGAUUGCCGAAACUGUAUUUUCGACGCAGUUUUCCCCCAGUGCGCGCGCUGUUCCUGAAUGUUUGGGUCGCUCCCACGCCUCCCACAUUGAGCCGUUGUGCUCCGAAUCAUGAGCACGGUCUUCGGAACGUCGAGACCUGUCAGUAUGUGUCUCGGCGGACCUCGGAAGUCUUCGGUUUGCAUUAACAAGCCACAAAAUCACCUGAUUUACAUAAAAUGAUAGAAUUUUAUGUAAAUGUAGGGACUUUUAUGCAAUUGUGCAUCUUGUGGUACUGUGGGCAGUACGUAGUGUUUGUGGUGACCUCUGGACUUAUUGUCCAAGGUCCGAUAGCCUUCGUGGAAAUCAAAAGUCGAUUUCGAUGCGUUUUUCAGUAAAAUUCGUUGGCGGAACGCGGUUUCAGUUCGGAUUUCAUCCAACGGUGUUUGUUUGCCCUAAGAGUUGUCGCUGAGCCUUGUCGGCUAGUCACCAUCAUCAUAUCGUGGGUUCGGAGAUAACGGGUGAGCGACGGUGGGUUCCGGUGUCGAAAUUGACACUUCCGGAAACCCAGAUCCGAACAAUUAUCCGACGAUAAUUGUUUGUUUGUGUUAUCUUGUGUUUGCUGCCAAGACAUCCAAAUCGAUGUGUUUUGUGGCAGCGGGUGAUUUGUGGCAUGAUUCAGUUAGUUUCUGGACACUUAGUGGGUCCCGAUGGCGUCCCGGUGUGAUUUUCAAGACUUUUGGUGAGUUACGGUGAUCGAUUUUAGGAAACCGAUUUUGAAAAUUUGUAUGGGGUUCGUGAGUCGUGUAUUUUGGAUUUGUGGGUUGGAUACUGACCCAGUGGAUCUUCGUAGGUUCGGUUGACUUGUGGUACACCCAGGUUUCCAACGUGAUUGUGAUAGGUGGGUGCUUUGAGCUGGUAGUCGGUGAGAUCGUUUCGCUUUCGUCUCCUUUACUCUUGUAGAGACAUGUCAGUUGCUUUUGUUUAUCAUUCGUAUCUAUAUCUUAUUGAUUGCAUGACAGUAGUUGUUGAUAGACAUGUAGAGCAGGCUUGCAUAUGUUGUAUAUCUGUAGACCUUGGGUCCAGACAACACAUUGACUCCUUUGUCGUGUGUUUCGAUCUAGUUGAUCGUGGUUUGGCGUUGUACGCCCUUACAUCUGGUUUCGACCAAGGCACCGAUUUUCUUGCUGGUUUUCGUAUUGAAUAUAUUAGUAUGAUUUAGUCACAGUAUUGUGUAUUCUAGACACCGGUUGGUUUGGCCACUAAUCAGGAGGUGUACGUAUCCGGAUAGGUCGUCGGUGGGCGCAUGAAUCAAUGUCAGUGUAUACUCUGUGACAGGCAACACUUGAGGUCUGCGGACCAAUAUGGCAGCACCAGAUUGGGUUUGAUUUUAGAUUAUAUACCCUUGAGGCAUCUGUUUCAGUUGAGUUGUUGAUACAGUAGUAGUUGGUUCUUACUCAUUUACUAUCUUGUUUCUAGUACUACUGUAGUUGCUCUUAUAUCAUACCAUGUACAUAUCUAUUGUUCUAUCUCCUUUGUUUUUCAGUAAAUACGAUUUGCCUUCGUGGCUCUGUCGUACCCAUUUUUUCAGGUGAUUCGGGCAAGGAGUUGGCUUUUGGACCGACGGGAGGACGUUCUAGCUAGCCUGCAGUAACGACCGUCAUCCGGAUUACUUUAAUUUUCGCCUCUAGUAAUUUAAAUAAUUAAAUGGUUUAGUUAAAUGAUCCCUUGAAUAUUUGAAUGUUUGUGAGUUUGUUUGAGUUGGUGAUUUCUAUUAUGCAUGCGAUUGGAGAUUUGUGGAUCUGUGGUUUUGGUUUUAUAGAUAAUUGGUUCUAGGAUUUGUAUAUUUAUGCAUCGUAGUUUUCUACUCAUUGAGAUAGUCGGUUUUCAAAAUGGAGUUUUCGAGUAGAAAACAGUUUUAAAAAGUUUUUGAAUGGUUUUUAUGAAUAAUUAAAUAGAGUUUAAAGACAAAACUUUCGAGUGGGGAGCACUCUUAAAUAGGAUGACUGUUGUACUGUGCAUCGUAUCAUCCAGUGCCUAAGGAGUGCUUAAAGGCAUGCAUCAUCUCUAAGAAUCGCUAGCUGUAUGUGGCGAGGCAGCAAGGCGGAGGAGGGCGAAGCAACAGAAGAGAGGGCAGAGCGUAUUUUUGGCAUAAAAAGAUAUUUUAUAACGGAACCCUAACGGAUCAUUAACGGUAGGGGGUGAAGUGAAUAUUUUUUAUUUUACAAGGGGGCAAAGUGUAGAUUUUUAAAUGACGGAUGGAAAAGUGAAAAAUUUGGUUUUGACAGAAAUUNCCCUAGCUUCUACUACUCCGGUAAUCUUAGUCUAGGGCUUUUGAUUACUGUUCUGGGUUGCGCAUGCUUUUUCGAUGAUCCGAGGCUGUCCCGAUGGCUCCGGAGGUGAGCACGGUGAUCCCUGGUCAGUGUUGAUCACAGUGCUCACCUCACUUAGGAUCAGCGAUUGCCGAAACUAUAUUUUCGACACAGUUUUUCCUGAGUGCGCGCGCUAUUCGCUGAAUGUUUGGGUCGCACCCACGCCUCCCACAGUGAGCCGUUGUGCUCCGAAUCAUGAGCACGGUCUUCGAAACGUCGAGACCUGUCAGUAUGUGUCUCGGCGGACCUCGGAAGUCUUCGGUUUGCGUUAACAAGCGACAAAAUCAUCUGAUUUACAUAAAAUGAUAGGAUUUUAUGUAAAUGUAGGGACUUUUAUGCAAUUGUGCAUCUUGUGGUACUGUGGGCAGUACGUAAGUGUUUGUGGUGACCUCUAGAUUGAUUGUCCAAGGUUCGAUAGCCUUCGUGGAAAUCGAAAGUCGAUUUCGAUGCGUUUUUCAGUAAAAUUCGCCGGCGGAACGCGGUUUCGGUUCGUAUUUCAUCCAACGGUGUUUGUUUUCCCUGAGAGUUGUCGCUCAGCCUUGUCGGCUGGUCACCAUCGUCAUAUUGUGGGUUCGGAGAUAACGGGUGAGCGACGGUGGCUUCCAGUGUCGAAAUUGACACUUCCUGGAAUCCGGAUCCGAACAAUUAUCCGACAAUAAUUGUUUGUUUGUGUUAUCUUGUGUUUGCUGCCAAGACAUCCAAAUCGAUGUGUUUUGUGGCAGCAAGUGAUUUGUGGCAUGAGUCAGUUAGUUUCGGGACACUUAGUGGGUCCCGAUGGCGUCCCGGUGUGAUUUUCGGGACUUUCGGUGAGUUACGGUGAUCGAUUUUAGAAAACCUAUUUUGGAAAUUUGUAUGGGGUUCGUGAGUCGCGUAUUUUGGAUAUGUGGGUUGGAUACUGACCCAGUGGAUCUUCGUAGGUCCGGUUGACUUGUUGUACACCCAGGUUUCCAACGCGAUUGUGACAGGUGGGUGCUUUGAGCUGGUAGUCGGUGAGAUCGUUUCACUUUCCUCUCCUUUACUCAUGUAGAGACAUGUCAGUUGCUUUUGUUUAUCAUUCAUAUCUAUAUCUUAUUGAUUGCAUGACAGUAGUUGUUGAUAGACAUGUAGAGCAGGCUUGCAUAUGUUGUAUAUCUGUAGACCUUGGGUCCAACCAACACAUUGACUCCUUUGUCGUGUGUUUCGAUCUACUUGAUCGUGGUUUGGCGUUGUACGCCCUUACAUCUGGUUUCGGCCAAGGCACCGAUUUUCUUGCUAGUUUUCGUAUUGAGUAUAUCAGUAUGAUUUAGUCACAGCAUUGUGUAUUCUAGACACCGGUUGGUUUGGCCACCAACCAGGAGAUGUACGUAUCCGGAUAGGUCGUCGAUGGACGCAUGAAUCAAUGUCAGUGUAUACUUUAUGACAGGUAACGCUUGAGGUCUGCGGACCAAUAUGGCAGCACCAGAUUGGGUUUGAUUUUGGAUUAUAUACCCUUGAGGCAUCUGUUUCAGUUGAGUUGUUGAUACAGUAAUAGUUGGCUCUUACUCAUUUACUGUAGUUGCUCUUAUAUCAUACCAUGUACAUAUCUAUUGUUCUAUCUCCUUUGUUUUUCAGUAAAUACGAUUUGCCUUCGUGGCUCUGUCGUACCCAUUUUUUCAGGUGACUCAGGCAAGGAGUUGGCUUUUGGACUGACGGGAGAACGUUCUAGCUAGCCUGCAGUAGUGACCGUUAUCCGGGUUACUUUUAUUUUCGUUUCUAGUAAUUUAAAUAAUUAAAUGGUUUAGUUAGAUGAUCCCUUGAAUGUUUGAAUGUUUGUGAGUUUGUUUGAGUUGGUGAUUUCUAUUAUCCAUGCGAUUAGAGAUUUGUGGAUCUGUGCUUUUGGUUUUAUAGAUAAUUAGUUCUAGGAUUUGUAUAUUUAUGCAUUGUGGUUUUCUGCCCAUUGAGAUAGUCGGUUUUCAAAAUGAAGUUUCCGAGUAGAAAAUAGUUUUAAAAAGUUUUUGAAUGAUUUUUAUAAAUAAUUAAAUAGAGUUUAAAACCAAAACUUCCGAAUGGGAAGCACUCUUAAAUAGGAUGACUGUUGUACUGUGCAGCGUAUUAUCCAGUACCUAAGCAGUGCUUAGAGGCAUGUAUCAUCUCUAAGAAUCGCUAGCUGUAUUUGGCGAGACAGCAAGGCGGAGGAGGGCGAAGCAACAGUAGAGAGGGCGGAGCGUAUUUUUGGCAUAAAAAGAUAUUUUAUAACGGAACCCUAACGGAUCAUAAACGGUAGGGGGUGAAGUGAAUAUUUUUUAUUUUACAAUGAGGCAAAGUGUAGAUUUUUAAAUGACAGAUGGAAAAGUGAAAAUUUUGAUUUUGACAGAAAUUUUUUUUUGUAAUUUAACCAAAUAUAUUCCUUGUCUAUUUCCUAUCAACUCAAUCUUUUGAAUGAUAUUGUGCGAGAGCUAAUUCUAAUUAAAUCUCUUCCUUUUAUGCGAAUGCUAGCCUGGGCCACCUCGGCGUCUUCAACACAAGAAUACCAGGCCAGGGUACGCAUAUCUGAAUUGGCAUUAAUUGGACACACUGAUCUUUGCAAUAAUAAAAAUCAUUAUUUCAUAUUUCAUUCUAGUGCGACUUGGCUCAACGUGGAUAGAUAGAGGCCUCGUUUGGAUGUAGGAAUUAGAUAUUCUGAUAACUUAUUAAAAAAAAUUUCUUAUAUGAUUGAAAGCGAGGAGUUUUUUUUUUUUCUUUACUCGAAAGACCUGUGUUAUAAUAACUUGUCCAGUAAUAAUAUAAUCAAUACAUAAAUUUUCUUAUUCAUAAUUUGAUUGAAUAGUACAUUUUGUUUAUAUGAUAAUUUAUUUUAUUUUAGAAAAAUGAAUUGGAAGUAAAAUACAAUAUUUCAUUUUGGACAUUGGACCGCACUUUUCAUUUUAGAGGCUUAUUCUUACUUUGCAGUUGAAAUAGAAAAGGAACGUCUAGUAAAAUCUAUCUUUACAUAGGGCUGGCAAAUGAAUGAGCCGGCUCGUGUUUAGCUCGAUAUUCAGCUCGCUCGUGCUUGACUCGAAAUUAAUUAAUAAGUUGAGCUUGAGUAUUACUCGGCUCUCUCGAAGUAGGCUCGAAAAGCUCGAAUAUAUAUAUAUAUAGGCUGGGGCUACUAUACUCAUAUGAGUAUAGAGCUCUUUGUACUCAUAACUUUUCGGCCGUUCGGAUGAAAAAAUAUGCGGUUAGGAUGAGAGUGAUUACGGUUAGGUUAAUAGUGGACCCCCUAGGGUUGAGUGGGUGAUUGAUUGAAAUAGUAUAAUCUAACGGGUGAAAAUGAUUAAAAGGUAGAUCAAACGGUAAAAAACUUAUGAAUACAAGAGCCUCUAUACUCAUAAGAGUAUAGUAGCCGGACUCAUAUAUAUAUAUAUAUAUAUAUGCUGAGUAUAAUAUUGCUAGCCCAUAAAAACAAUCCAAUAGACAAACAAAAGGGCAAAGUUUUACUAAAUGUACACUCUCUUCCUCUUUUUUUUUCACAAAGCUCUAAAUCCCUAAUCUCUCUCUCUCUCUCUCUCUCUCCAAGCCUGAAGCCCUCCAAAUUACCAAGUAAUAACAUGCGCCGAUCAUUGCCUACCUCGCCAUUAAUUGUGUGCUUGAGAAAAUAUACAAAAUAUUUUUAAGGUUUAUUGUUUAUACAAAAUUUUGAUUUUAGUUAUAUAUGAUUGGAUAGUUUAAUCCAAUAUUUACCUAUAUAAUUUAUUUAUUUUUUGACCACAUAAAUAAAAAGGAAUAAUAUAGAGAUUGAAGGCGGAAGAGAAGACAUGCAAGGCUGAAAAGAUUAGAUAUCCAACUCAUAAGUUAUUUUUCUUAUAUUAUAAUACCGUAUUUUAUAUAAUUAUUUUGUAUUUUGAACUAUUAGACAUACUUUUAUAUUAAAUUGUAGAUAAUGUUCUAUACAAACUAAACUAUUGAUCGUACGAUGUUGAGAAUUUCAAGCGGCUCGUUCAGGACUCGAGCUCGCUCGACUCAAAAUUAGACUCGCUCGAGCUCGGCUCGAAUUAAUUUCAAGCCAAACUUGAGCCUAAAUUUAGGCUCGAAAUUAAUUUUAAGCCGAAUUUGAGCUGAGAUAAGCUCGCUCGAGCUCGGCUCGUUUCCGCCCCUAUCUUUACAUGCCCCAAACAAAAAUUAAUGCCUUUCAAUCGGACGUGCAUUACUGGCAUGACAUUUUUGCUGUAAAAUUUUGAGAUACUUUGCCCCUCUAUGAGCGGUCAAUUGUUUAUUACAUGUAAGCCCUAUUAUGAUGCAUAAACAUCUUAUUCAAUAUACCUCUUUUGUUUACUCGAGAAGCAUGCAGCAUUUCAUAAAUAAGAAGUGUGAUCAAAUGUCCAAAAUAGAUAUCAUGUUCAACCUUCAUUUUUUUUUUUCGGAACAAAAUAUAUUACUUCAUGGAUAAAAAAUACUACCUAGCCAAAUCAUAGAUGUCAAAAUCUUUCUACAAGAAAAAACUUUAAAAAAAAAUUAAAAUAAAAUCCUCAUACCAAACAGGGAUAUCUUAUCCUGACAUCAAAACAGGGCCAUAGCUGAACAAUUAUCUUGCGUCACAAAAUUCAUGAUGAAUUCGCUGGAAUAUCUCUUCUAGAGUGAAAAUUUUGUAGAUUGUGAUUACUGAGUUCACUAGGGAAAUGCCAUCUUGUUCUUGUACAGUGUUAUGAUAUUUACCAUGAUUAAAAUUUCUGGCAUACAAAGAAUAACUUGAUAUGUAAAGAGACUUCAAACAUACAAAAUCACUCUAGAAUUGAUACACAUGAUUGCUAUACAUAUGGGCUGUCAUAUUCAGGGAUUGAAGCAUAGCUUCUCCCCGUUUGUUGAUAGUAAAAGUAGAAAUGCCGCCAUUAUUCACAUCGAUGGAUCGAAACCUACAUCAUAACGAAAGUUUCAAUAUUUACUAAUAAAAAAUUUACGCCCUUCACGGCAACAAAUAUUUCACAAGAACCUCAGAUAUUUCCUAUUAUCAGGGACCGAAUUUAGUACGAAGAUGCUUCAAGGAUUAAUUUGUUUAGAUUUGCGAAAUAUUUGUAACCUUUGAGGCUCUAGUGUUAGAGAACAAUAAAUCGCACACAUUGGAGAUUACGAGCACUUGAACUUACCUCUCUGGACCUAGUCCAAGAGCUGUACAGAUGAGGGCUCGCAAAAUGGACUUAUGAGUAACUACCAAAAAGCUCUCUCCCUGAUUUUUUUUUUUUUUUUUAAAUAAACGAAGAAAUAUUUGUAAGCUCUAGAAGCUAUUAGUAGUCUUCAGAAUGAAUUUGGAAGGGUCACAAGUACAUACCGGUGAGAACAAAAUUUCUUUCCAAGCUUCUCUUGCAGUUCCCCACAACCUUCGUAUAGGAUAAACACCUUCGACAUGAAAAUUAGCAGGAUCUUCUCUCCAUUUGGUAUACAAUUCUGGGUAUUUCUUCUUAGCAUCCGCUGCCUCCAAGUACCAAACAUCGUUACAUAUGAUAGAUAGUUAUUGAAACAAAAGAAAGGAGCCCUUGCAUACGUAUUCCUACAAAAUAAUCUAUUGACAUAUAUACUUUGACACCCCAAUAGUUCCACAUCAAAUAGAAACGGGGUUGUGAUUAGAUAUAUGGGAGAUCAUGGACCAUAGUAAUAAUAACUAAACUUAAGUAUUUUCGGCCGAUAGUUUGCACUCAAUGAGUUAUUAUUACUAAUAGACCGGAUUGUUACAAUUGGCAUCAGAGCCGGUUCACCAGUCGGAAAUGUGAGAUGGGCCUCACAUCGCCAAAUGAUCUUGAGCUGUAUGUGCCCACAUCGGAUGGGAACGGAACUAUAAUUUGAUAUAUAAGAGAUCAUGGACCAUAGUAAUAAUUACUAGGCAUAAGCACUUUGGGCCGGUAGUUUGCACCCAACAAGUUAUUAAAAGAAAAGAAGGAGCCCCUGCAUACGUAUUCCUGCAAAAUCAGUUGUUGACAUAUAUGCCUAGCGCAAGUUCGUGCAAAAAAACCCUUAAGUUGGGAAGUCAUUGAAUUCAUAAGAGGAAGUUGGUCUUGAAUUAGAGAGGCCUUAGAGACAUGAGUUCUGUAAUAGCAAGAGUACGUACGUAGAAAAAGGUUUUGAAGGGCAUAUAUGAAAUUUCAGAUUUUGCAGGGGCAUAUGUUUAAAUAGACAAUUUAGCAUCCAUACCAUUUGUCAUGCCUUCGAGAAAAAAUAGAUGUGCCUCUUUCAAUGAAUCAAGAAAAAUUAGUGGUUGCUCGCGUCCAUGCCAUAUAAGUUCAGCAGUAGACUGCAUUAAAAACCUAUUGGUAGAGAAUGAUGAAUUUGCAAACCAAUUUGUGGCGAAUUUCUUCCGAAGGAUGGAAAAAAAAACAAUGGAAGAUUUUCAGGUUCAAAAUUGAGGCUCAAAGUCCAAACCUUUGCUCUUGAGAUAGGACUAGAGAAGCAGAUGUCAAAGUUCAUAUUGAUCAAUGCAUUACAGCAUCUCUCAGCUUGCAUGGCUCCAGUUUCUGUUAAUAUGGACAAAUCUGAACUUCCCUAGAUAACAAUGGUAAUCUAGUCACCAAAGUCCAAAUAUUACUUUCAAGAAGUUCUGCAAGUCAACAAUAUACAAAGCAAGUAUUUAAGUACUCAUUAACACGGGCCGUAUCUACCGUACUGUAACGUGCCAAUAAGAUACUGGCACGAUACAGCCUCCGUGACGAUGGCACAGUUCAAAACCCUUUUUACUUUAAAUUAGUAAUAAUUUUUUCAAUACAGUUCAAAAGAUUUGACAAAGAUACAUAAUAAGCAACUAAAAAAUUUUGUUGCUAAAGAAAAUAAGUUUUUUAUAUCAUUAUGUGUCAGCACACAUGUAUUUUUUGUGACCGGCAUGCAUAGGGACGAUCCGGUAUGCACCGUGCCAUAUCGUGCCAACAAGCUUACGGCACAAUCCCGUGCCACGACACUUAAAUCCUUAAUACAAAGUUCAUCAUAGAAUGAAUAACUACUGUUGAAAAGAUUUCUUCUUUGAAUAAGUUGAAAUUGUUAAAUGAUUGACAUGAUUCUGUAUGAAGCAAUGAUGCGAAGGUCAAAAUGGACUCUAGUGUUCCCUAGGUACCAAACAUGGUAAGAGAGUAUUUGGAAUGUUAAAGAAGAAAAUAAUGCCCAAAUGUCCACAUAGAAUAAUUAUCACAUUUUUAGACAGCAAUCAUGUCAGCCUGAUUCUCUUACUAACUUCUUAUGUAUGUAAACAUCUAUAACUACCUCUGAGAGCCAAAUUCUAGCUGCAAGACAGAAGAUGUCAACUUAACAAGAAAAUCUUUGACAAAGUAUUUAAUGAUUGGCAUUCAAGCCUUCCAGCAUGAAAAAGACCAAGAACAUCUAAUUCAAUUGGACUAACAGACACACUAACUGGUAAGUUCAUAACUAUCUAUAUACAUAUGAGGAAAACAUUAUUUUCAGGACAACUUCAUUUACUAAGGCGACAAACGCAAGCCAUUAUAUUUUUAUGAUUUUAUUAAUAGUCAAAUCACUCUUAGAAACACAAAAUGAUAUCCUUAGGUUUGAAUAAGUGCGAAUGACCGUACAGUAAAAAUAUGAUCCAUUUGAUAUGAAAUUCAUUCUUCCUAUGACAUAUAUUUGACAGUUGGACAUUUUCUGUCGAAUUUUCAUUGCAGGCAUUGUAUAGAUGGAAGUUAUAUUAUUUAAGGUAUGACAAUUGAAUACAGUUGAAAGAGGCACUACAGUUGGAAGCAUUAUCAGAUACACUAGAUGAGAUUAGAAGCUAGGAAUCAACUUAAAUGAGAGAACUGAACAUUGCUUUAACUGUUAUAGAUUAUAAAAGUCUUUGUGAAAAAUACCAACCUGAACACGACUUUCCUCAUUCCAGGAGCUCAAUCCAUGUCUCACAAGAGUAACCUUCUUCGCAGAAGACAAGAGCUCAUUUGUAAGUGAGGUUGUUGCUCCUUUGAAGUCAUAAGCAGCACCAGUCAUCGAAACUUCGCUUUCUGGUGGGCUCUCUGUGGAUACAUUGUUGAUGAUCUCCGUGGAUACAUUGUUGAUACUACAAUGGACUAGGGUUAUGAGAUUUCUUGAUAUAUAUGAACCUUAUAAACAAAAUGUUAUUAAGUCUAUCGUAAUCUAAAAAAACCAUAAUAACCUAUUUAACGAAGACUAAAACACCAAGGAAACUCCAGUUUUAUGUAUGGUGUCAGACAAUAACCUUUGUGUCAUGAACAGAAGAGGCGGUUACUUAUAAACCACGGAAGAAAACAAUGUAAUGUUGUUCCACUGCAUACUCAUCAUUAAGUUCGGUACAUGACCUUGUUUAUUUAUCAAGUAACGUCAUUUAUAACGUAAACGCAAUACAAAAAGAAUCUACAGAACCUACACAAACCGUGAAUUAGAGACAUGGAAAGAAGAAAGUACAAAAAAUGUGACUACGUCCGUUUGUUNAGUUUAGCUUAAAAAUGUUGAAUUUUUUUGAGAGAGAAAGGUACGUAGUAAACUACCUGCUUCGUUUAUUUUCUUUUAAAACUAAACUGAAUAAAAAAUGUGAAGCAACUAGAUCUCGAACUUGGGAUCUAGAAUACCAACCAUUAAGCCCAUAGCCCAACUAUACUAGGUACAUAUCGUCGGUGAAAUGUUGGUAUUAAGAUUAGAUGGGUAUUGAGGCAUUGAAAGGGGAAGAGAAGAGUAUGCUUAAGAACCUAAAAGGGGAAAGAAAAGAGUGCCAUGUAAAAUUAAGAAGUUGCUUAGAGUACAGAUUCAAAAUAAGCCUUAUAUGGCCCAAACAGAAUAUCUUGUUGCCUCAUGCUUCUUCUGGCAAAGCAUUUAUAUACAGACAUACAACCAAAUGUCUAGAAGAGCUCCAUAUUGAUGUUCGUUCAGAAGAAUGAUAGAAAAGUAUAUGACCUUGGGCACCACUAGUUUUGAUCAUAAAGCCAAAUCAGUUGUACUAACUAUUAACUUGGUGCGUACGAACCAAGUAUUUUGCAGCCAGAAAGGGAAUGUUAAUGUUGAAACAUGACAGUUUUAGUCAAGUAGAAGAAUAUGUCGAAGUUCAAAGCGAAAAAAAAAAAAAAAAAAAAAGAAAAAAAAAAAAACAGAGACCGCCACCCCCCAAGAACAAGUGUUUGCAACUCUGAGUAAAGGAGCUAAUUCAAACAAAUAACCGAGCUCGAAAUAUAUAAAAGAAGAUACGAUAGCUCAUAGCUUUUAGGAGGAAAGUAGCAGCUAGGCACCUAUUUGCCAUUCAAAAAUCUGUUAGUACUAGCAAGAUCAUAUAAAUCAGAUUGGAUUCCUGGCACAUGCCAAAUAGCAGUACUUAUAAAAAAAUAGAAAACAAAAAAACGUAAAGCUGUGAGAACCAGUAAGAUAGAUAUCAAAUUCUACUAACUAUUUUCGUCACUGGGAGAGUCACUGGUGGCAAAAGACUCCAUAGGAAAACAAUAUCGUUUAUAGCUUAAAUGAAUUACUUAUCUCGAACAAGUCAAGUCGACAACAUGAUGGAUGAUAUCUCAAGUCAAAACAGAAAUAACUCAAUAUUAUUACGCUCUAUAAGAGAAGAAACGGAGGAGCAUGAUUGUGUCCAGCUAAAUCAUGGGAAUUGCAGAUAUCUCAAAUACUACUAUUUAGAAGACCCUUUUCGCCUGGUUCAUGUACAGUACAAGCACUAGCUUCUAAUGUAUAUACAGGCAGCAAUCUAACUUAUCCUCUCUCCAAAGGGCCCAUGCUGUAGGCCCUGUUUCCGUGCGUGAAUAUCUUAUUUAGUAUACCAUUUUAAUUUACACAAAAAAUUUAUAUAUUUGGACCAUAAGAAGUGCGAUCAAAUAUUUAAAAUGAAAUAUUAUAUUUAAUUUUUAGAUCAAUUUUUCAGAAUAAAAUAAAUUAUCUCGUAGCUGAGAUACGCUAUCCUAUCAAAUCAUAAAUAGCAUAACCUUUUAAGAAGUAAAAAAAAUCAAACUUUCUGCUUACUAUCGUACUAAAAAAUUCUUAUACCGAAUAAGUUAUCGUUCCGACGUCCAAACAUCCAAAAAUGAACCAGGCUAAUGUUGGAUACAAGGGAAGGGGAUGGAGAGGAGGAAGUACCGGAGCAGUUGGGCGGGUAGGAGUUGGAGCAAGAAAAGGAGAAGAGCCGCCGGACGCCGAGAGGCUUCAAGUUGCGGAUAGCGAGGAUGCCCGGCGGCGGCGGUGCCGCUGCUGCCACCAACGAAGCGCCACCCAUUCCAAAGUCCCAGCGCUUUCCGCUGGCCACUAAUUCCUCCGCUGUUUCUUUAGAAAGAUAGGGCACAUUUCAGCUGGAAUCACGGAUAUCCCCAGAUGGAAAAAAAAAGUCAAAAAAAUGUAAAUUUCUUAUGUGGCUCUCAAAUUAUGCUCUUCAAACUUUAAUUUAUUAUAAUCCUUAACUUAAAUUUUUUUAAAUUUAAUAAUAAAGUCUUACAAUAAAAUUUAGUUAGUUAAAUACUAAUAGAUUUUUUUUUUUUUAGAGAAAGAGAUAGCAAGCUACAUACUUCAUUCAUUAAGACAAAUAAAUUAGACGUACAUGGUGGAAGCAGCUGGGGCCUUCAAAAGGCAAAAAAGCGAAGGCGAAAAACAUGGCUAAAAAGACCAAGAAUAUAGCAAAAAGGGGGAGGGGGACUCAGUCCAAGAGGAGAAGAGAACUGACUCGUUCGGAGCAGUGUGGCGGUUGGGCGUAUGUUGUUUCUUUCCGUCCAUGCUACCCACCAGAUUGCAGCCAGGAGAGUUAGUUCUUUGGCUCGCUUCGCGGUGUCGGAGAUAUUAGUAGUUGUGAUCCACAGGGAUGGGGCAUCAGUUGAAUUAUCGACCGUUUCCAGGCAUGCCCCAUGAAGAAGUAGGUACCGGACGAAAACGCAGCUAACGAAGAGAUGGUCGCAGCUUUCGAAGCAUAUGGCACAGAAGACACAGUGUUGGUCUACUUACAUGCCUUUGCUGAGUAAUCUAUCAACGGUUGGUAGCCGUUUGCGAAGAAGAAGCCAAAUGAAGAUUUUGAUUUUUAUUGGAAUUUUGAGUCUCCAUAUGUGUUGGUUCGUCAAGUCUCUCUGCCCUGCGUCAGUAAGAAAGCAGUAGAGAGAUUUAACUGAGAAUAUUUGGUUAGGGGUCCAUCGCCAUUGGGGUGAGUCCCGACAAUCGUUGGGGCUACGAUGUUGGAGAAAGUCUUUGAGCAUCGUCAUUUGUCUGCGGUUUUCGACUGAGUGUACGUGACGUCGCAAAGCCUCUGCAGAUGUAGCACCAUCUCCAGCCCUUUGAAUUCCAGCAUCUGGAAACACAGGCCUCCUUGUUCGUAAUAUUGGUACCGGGCAUCAGUUGAAUUAUCGAUCGUUUCCAGGCAUGCCCCAUGUAGAAGUAGGUGCCGGACGAAAACGCAGCUAACAAAGAGAUGGUCGCAACUUUCGGAGCAUAUGGCACAGAAGAUACAGUGUUGGUCUACUGACAUGCCUUUGCUGAGUAAUCUGUCAAUGGUUGGUAGCCGUUUGCGAAGAAGAAGCCAAAUGAAGAUUUUGAUUUUUAUUGGGAUUUUGAGUCUCCAUAUGUGUUGAUUCGUCAAGUCUCUCUGCCCUGCGUCAAUAAGAAAGCAGUAUAGAGAUUUAACUGAGAAUAUUUGGUUAGGGGUCCAUCGCCAUUGGGGUGAGUCCCAGCAAUCGUUUGGGCUACGGUGUUGGAGCAAGUCUUUGAGCAUCGUCAUUUGUCUGCGGUUUUCGACUGAGUGUGACGCCGCAAAGCCUCUGCAGAUGUAGCGCCAUCUCCAGCCCUUUGAAUUCCAGCAUCUGGAAACACGGGCCUCCUUGUUCGUAAUAUUGGUAAAGAUAUCUGGGAACAUGGUGCGUAGAGGGGUUUCUCUGAUCCAUAUGUCAGACCACAUCCUGAUAUGGGUACCGUCGCCUAGUUCGUAGGAUACACCAUAUUUGAACACCUCGCGACAUCGAGCAACACUUUUCCACCAUUGCGAGUAAGGGACAAAGGUUCUGCCCUCAUGUAGUGGUUUGUGUUUGGUGUAGUAGAGAGAUUUUAUCAGUUUACACCACGGGAGAUUAGGUUCCUUGAGGAAGCGCCACCACCAUUUGGUUAAGAGGGCCAAGUUCAUAGCGUCCAUAUCUUUGAUCCUUAGCCCUCCUUCAGUUUUGCUUUUAUAGAUAGUUUUCCAACUGACUAGACAUGCUCCUCCAGAGAUGGUAGAAGUUCCUUUCUAGAAGAACGCUCUUCCGAGGGCCUCGAUCCUGUGGAGUACCCACUGUGGUGCUUUGAAAGUAGAUAAGUAGAAUAGCGGUAACUUGGCGAGAACCGAAUUGACGAGAGUGAGUCUUCCUCCUUGAGAGAGAAGUUUGGCUUUCCAACAGUCAAUUCUUGCGCUAACGCGAUUAAUAACCAAGGCCUAAUCUUCUUUACGUAAUUGUUUGUUGUAAAAUGGUAGCCCCAGAUAUCGGAACGGAAGCUUACCUACUUUGAAUCCUGGGAUGUUGGCCAGUCUGUCGGCUUUGUGCGCUCGAGAUCCCAAAUAGUACAGUUCUGAUUUAUUCCGAUUAAUCUUGAGUCUAGAGGUCCACUCAAAGAUCUUCCAAAUAAAUUGGAGAUUACUCAUAAAACAUUUCCUGGGUUCACAAAAGAAUAGAGUGUCAUCGGCGUACUGGAGAAGCACUGUUUCGCAGUCUUCAUUUGGGCCAAUUCCUCAUAGUAGGUUGUUGCUCCUAGCGAUUUCGGUCAGCCUGGCUAGGCAAUCCGCGACUAAAAUAAAGAGAUAGGGGGAGAGCGGGUCUCCCUGUCUAAGGCCCUUCCUUGCUUUCAGCCAUCUUGUCGAGCUGUCAUUGACUAAAAUAGCCACUUUGGCAUUGCAAAUGCAUUGUUCGAUCCAGGACCACCAUUUCUCACUGAAGCCAAGCCAUCUCAGAAUAUUUUGCAAGAAUGUCCAUCUGACGUUGUCGAAAGCUUUUUCGAAGUCGGCCUUGAUAUAAACGCAUUCCGUGCCGAAUUUUGAGCACCAGUUGACUAGUUCACAUGUUGUGACAAAUGAGUCUGUUAGCAGCCGAUCUUUAAAGAAGGCGGAUUGGGAAGGGGAGAUUAUGGAUGGUAGAGUGAGCGUGAGUUGGUUGGCAAGCACUUUAGAGAUAAUUUUUUGGAUUCCGCUGAUGAGGCUGAUCGGUUGAAAGUCAGUUACCGUGCGCGGUCCUUCCUUUUUUGGGAUGAGGGACACAAAUGAGUAGUCGAUGGGUCCCGUAAAUAGUUUGUUAGCCUGCAAGUCAAGGAAUAUGUUGAAGAUGUCCUCCUUUACCGUCUCCCAAAAAGUUUGGAAGAAAAUAAGGGGAUAGCCGUCUGGCUCCGAGGCCUUAUCCCUGCCUAGUUGGAAGGUUGCUGUCUUGACUUCCUCAAGAGUGAAAGGGGAUGUUAGGGAGUCGGGGUUGCACAGUCUAUUAGAGUGGUAGAGGUUGCUCCAAUCUCCGUAAGAUGGAAGGCUUUCAUCCACAAGACCAAAUUGGCGUUGAAAAGCAUGAAAGAAGUAAGAUCUCUUUUCGUCUUCGUGGGUGAUUUGCCUCCCUAGUUCGUCCUCAAUGACUUCUAUGAUGUUGCUUCAUUUUCGACUGUUAGCCACGGCAUGAAAAAAUUUAGUGUUUCCAUCUCCCUCCUUGAGCCAAAGUUGUUUGGCCCUGGUGUUCCAGAGGAUUUCUUCCUCCUUUAAAAUAAGCUGCAGUUGCCCUUUGAGGUUGGUCCGUUUAUCCAAAGAUUCUUGAGACAAGUCAGAGUGUUCCUCUAGGUGGUCGAUUCUCUGGAGUUCUUCCUGUAUGAGCUUCUUAGUGUGGGAUAUACUGUGGUAGUUGGACUUGCACCAUUCCUUUAUCCUUGUUCUGCAGUGCCUGAGCUUAGCAGUUAUACUGAGGAUGGCUGACUGCUUACAGGGGACUUCGUUCCACCAGCUCGGCACUUUCAAGAGAAAGUCAUCCUUGGUGAGCCAAACCCUUUCAAAUCGAAAUCUUCGCGGCGUGGGUAGGAGUCCGGUAGUGAGAAUGAUCGGUGUGUGGUCAGAAGUGAUCCGCGGUAGAGCCUUGACCUUGCUGAGGGGAAAAGAGAGGUCCCAUUCGGUGGAGACGAGGAAUCUGUCAAGUUUGGCCAAGGUGGGUUUAUGUUGCAUGUUAGGCCAGGUGUAGGUUUGGUUCGUCAUUGGUAAGUCGAUGAGCGCUAGAUCUCGGAUGAGGUCCGAGAACAUUGCCAUGAAUUUGGAGCUCCAAGGAUUUCCUCUUCUUUUAGCUUGGUGUCUGGUGAAAUUAAAGUCGCCGUAAAUGACCAACUUGUUGGAACAUAUCCCAUUGAGUGUAAGAAGUUCGGCACAAAAAUUUUCUUUUCCAUCCCAGGUGGGGGGCCCGUAAACGUUAGUGAGAUAGAAUGUCUUGUUGGUAGGAAGGUGGAUUAGGUUGAGAGUGAGCGAGUGGUCGGGGACCAAGACCUCAUUGCACUUAAAAAAAUUAGAAUUCUAGCACGUGAGUAAUCCGCCGGAGAACCGGAAGGCGAGAAUGAGGUGGCACCGGUCGUAUCGGGAGUCGCAACAAGAACGAAGGAACGAAUGGGAGACAGUGUCCACUUUAGUUUCUUGAUGACAGACAACAGAACUCUGAAGAGUGGACAACAAGGACUUGACACAGCGACGUUGGGCCGGGUCAUGCAGACCGCGGGCAUUCCAACUUAACAAGCUAAACAUCACAAAAACGAAAAUCACACACAACAGUAGAAAACACGGACACGACAGAGAUACAACGUUUAGGCUUCAGCCAACAGGAAUUUUUUAAAUUCUGUAGCAUCAGAGUCAGUGAGUGUCACCCCGCAAAGUAGGCCCCGCGCCUUGAAUCUCUUUUUGGACCAUCUGUGCAUUGGAGUCGCCGGUGUGGUAGGGCCCCCCUCGAGGUGGUGCACUUUUCUGCACAUCGCCCUACUAAGCAUAGAGUAGAUCAUCUGCGUGGCCAGGCGAGCGCUCGAUCUCGGCACGUCCAAGGAGAGGCGUUUAGAAACAGGCUGGUGCAGCUCAUCUUGAGGUGGGCUUCCAGAGUCGGUUUGAGUGAAAGUCGGGAUCGAAUUUGAGCUGGGCCGAGGCCCAGGACAGAUGGAUGAAAAAAGAUCACUGCUUGCAACGGGUAAUUGGAGGUUGGGCUCGAAACCGAAAUAGCAAGCAUCAAAGAUUAGGAAGGUUAGGGUCCAUCCCGGACUACCCAAGCGGGGCGCGGGGUCCGAUGCAGUGGAGAUACGCGAGUGGUCCAAGAAGGAUGGCCCGAAAUGCCAAUAAAUGCACCAACAAUGCUCCUCGGGGUAGAAAAUCCCAUGGAAUCCCACUUUGUCAAAAGCUUCUAGAUGCAGGAGCCAAGGGUUAGCCAAGGGAUUUCCUGAUUCAGGUAAGAGGACAUUGAUGGUGCUGGAGAGGCAAGCGCCAGAUGAGAGGAAAGAGGAAAAGGUGGAGACGGUGUCAGGUUGCAUGAGAAUGGAAAGGCCAACGACGUGGAGAUUUGAAAGUGGAAGUGGUAGGCCCUUCUUCUGGCCUGAAACUCCGCCGAUCGUUAGAAAGGUGGUGGCGAGAGGCGCCGGCAGCCCGGGUAAAAGCCACGGCAUGGGGGGAGUUCCGCGCGGCAGAGAGGUGGAUCCGCGAGGCAGAGUGUCGCGCAGCAGUGGAAAGGUUCCGCAUGGCGAAGAAGGGGCCUCUAGCUGUGGGUGGCUGGUAAGAGGCGCCGGUAGCCCGAUCGUUUGCCGCGGCGGAGGGAAAGCAUCGCGAGACGUAGGGAUGGCUUCGCUUGUAGGAGAGAGAGCAUCGCGUCGUCUGUCUCGAAUUUCGAAGGAAUUCCAGGAGGCGUUAGAGUUAAAUGAACCUCCAUUCUCCGAGUGUCUCCCCCGUGCGGAGCCGGUGGAUCGUUGGCCGUCUCUGGGAGCUGGUCUGGCGGACGGAUCAUGCUGGUCCGUGCGUUCAUUGUUGGGGUUGGCGCGUCUCUCCUCCUCACUGCGGCCCCACCUUUCUAGCUGGAUUAGCACAGAUAGCGACAAAUCCCCGAAGGAGAUCUCCAAAUUUUCUGGAAUAUCUGAGAGGUGGUUGACGGCUACCAGGCACCGGUAGCCGGAGAGGUCAACCAUGCGGGCGCUGAAGUCGUCCAAUCUGAUGAACCUGCCGAAGCCGCUGACGAGGGCCGCGACGGUUCGAGAGGACCAGCACUCGUAUGGGAGACUGAUGAGACGAAUCCAGGCUUUGUAGGUGAGUGGCGGCCGUCUCGGGCCACAGUAAGAGUUAUUAAUGGAGAACUAAUAUAGAAGUAUUGUGAUUGAUAUUAUGACAAUAAUUAAAAUUCUAUAUCACUUCUAUAUCAAUAAGUUGUCAAUAUUUAGCUAAUUAUAUUGGAUUAUGAGAUCUGAUUGCAAUAAUUUUAAAAAUUUAAGCCAAAAAUUAUUGUAAUCAAGUAUCACAACCCAAUUAAGUUAGCUAAAUAUUGACAAUUUUAAUUUAUUAUAAUUUCUGAUUUUAACUUUCUAAAUUAUUAUAAUCAAAGUGUCAUAAUCUAAUUUAGUUGGCUCAAUACUCACAAAUUAUUAAUAUAGAAGUAAUAUCGAAGUAUCCUAACCCUAUAACAGAAUUAGAUUAUAGGGACACAUGUUUGAGACACUUUUGUGUAAGUGUCUCAUUUAUGUCAAAACUUAAAAAAAAAAUCUACUAAUGCCUAAAUAUAAAGCCCAAUCCAACUAAACAUAAAAGGUUACUCUACUCAACCCACCCUACCCAGCCCAUUCGGUCCGAUUACAAACAGAAAAGAAAAAAAAAAAAAAGAAAAAUCGAUUACCAUCUCCUCUUCUCCCCUCACUCAAUCCACUGAAAUUCUAGACGAAGAGCCCUUCUCUCUCGUUCUCCUCCGCCACCGCAGCCAACGAGGUAGAGUUCCGGCGGUUGCUAUAUACUUAAAUAAGUGUUGGUAAAUUAGCAUCACUCUUUUAGGUUACAGCGACACUCUUUAACUGUCACUAUAUACCUAGCGACCCCACAUAUAGCAACACUUUUUAAAAGUGUCGAUAAUUUAGCUAGCAGUAUUUUUUUUUUACCUGUACCGAUAUUUAAAAGUGUCGCUAUAGACCGUUUUUGUUGUAGCGAUAUAUAAUAGAUAAUGUGAUAAUAAUUAAGAUACUAUAUUAUUUCUAUAUCGAUAAUUUGUUAACAUUUAGUUCACUAAUAAUUAAACUGUGUUGUAAGAUUUAAUUAUAAAAAUUUUAAAAAUUGAAGUCAAAAAUACAAUAAACUAACAUUUGAAGAUUAAAGUACCAGCCACUUCAUAGUUUGAGGGCAAUGCAAUUUACCCAAAAAAAAAAAAAAAACUUUUUUAUGUUUUGGGCUUUCUUGUUUAGUUAGACCACUGACCUCGUAGAAAGUCAGUUUGUCUAGCCUUUCUUCGAUAGUAGUGUUGUCCAUUCUGAUCCGAACCCGUUAUCCCCAUCCAACCUAAAAAUGGUACUAGUACUAAUGUAAUAUUUUUUGCAGCCUUAUUUUUAAUCAUCUUAAAAUAUUGUAAUUCGGUGGUCAUUAGUAAAAUCCCCACUGUAUAUUUGUCACUAAUUUUCCCAUAAGAUAUUGUGCCUCUAAUUUCAUACAUGGGAAACCAAAAGCGACUAUAAGAGGAAGAGACUUUUAGCUAUCGUUUGGUUCGAAAAUAAGCUAUUUUAAGCUAUCUCUGGGAUAGUAAAACUUUUGGGAUUAGCAGCAAUAAAAUCGAUUUUACAUUUAGAUGAAAAUUAAUUUUUUUUUUUUCAGGAGUAAGCAUAAUAGCGUUCGGAGAGUUAGAUGGGAAUAGUAAGGAUAAUAAUAAUUAUAUUUUUAAUAUAAUAAUAUUUUAUCUAAUUAAUUAAUAGAAAAUAUUGAUUAAAUAAUAAUUCAACUUAUUUAAUUUACUAAUUAAUCGUCAAUAUUGUUAAAUAACCCUAAAUGUUAAUUAAUAAAUUAAUUAGUAAUUAAUAAUUUAAUUAGUCACAAGUAAUUUAAUAAAUUAAUAAAUAAAUUAGUUAAUAACAGUCAGAUAAUUAAAUUUGUCAACAUAUUAAUUAAUUAAUCAAUAUAAAUAUUGGUUAUUAAAUAAGUACACAAUAAAUAAUUAAUUAUUUAAUUAGCAAAUUAAUUAAAAUAAUAAAUUAAUUACUCAAAUAGCUAACUAAAUAUUUAUUAGAGUAAUAAAUUAAGUAGUACAAUUAAUAAUUUUAUAAUAAAAAUAGUAUAUUAUAAUAUAUAAUAUAUUAUGUCUAUAUAAUUUAGUUUUAAUUCAAUUUAUAAUCUUAAUAAAACUUGAAAUUAAACCUUAGAAUAGCACUAUUCCACCAAAAUGGUGGAAUAGUAAAUCCCAAGCUAUUCCGAGAUAGCCGGGAAUAGCAAUAUUGUUUGCCCGAGAUAAAAUAUCCCAACCCAAAAACACCCCGUUUUGCUGGAUAGCAGGGAUAACUUUCGUUAUCCCUAUUUUAUCCCCGAACCAAAUGAGGCGUUAGUGUUUAGUAACUACUAAACUAAUUCUUAAUCCCGCUUGUCUUAUAUAGAGUUCUUGUUCCCGGCCUCAGAUUUAAGAUAAUAGAUUCUUAAGAGUUGUAUUUGUAACUAUAUGUCCUAAAGGCCCCUUCAAAAAAGGUUUUGUAAUGUUCCGAACUUGUCGCAACCCGUCGGUGAUGAGAAUGCACUGAUAUGCCGAUGGCAGUGGGGAUGAUGGUGAGGCUCGGACUUGGGAAUUUGAGAUAAUUGAGUGAGAGAAAAGGAGAACGAGAGGAACUAGAGAGAAGAGAGAGAGAAACUAGAUUGGGGGAUUGGAGAGAUGAGAGAGAGAUAAGAGAGGUAAAGAAUAGAGGAGAAAGAAGAAGAAGAUUAGACAUUAUUUCCGUGGAGCUUGUGGACUUCGUAUAGGCAUGAGCAUAUUCUUCGAGUUGAUUCAGAACUCAGAAGUGAAGCGGAGUCUUUGUUCUGACCACCCAAUCCGCUAAGAAUCAUCCUUUCUUUCUCCACUUCGUAGAUUCUAUCUGAUACUUCCCUUCCUCUUGAGGACUCCCAACUUGCUAUAUAUAGACGAAGCUAAAAUCUCAAUUCUUGCUCCUUUAUUCCUUCUAACCCACUAUUAAUCUACUCUACUAAGCCUCUGCUACUCUAUCUCUAGUUCUCAGGUUCUUACAGCUGGUUUAUAGCAAAUGGAGAAGAUGAUGAUGACGACGAUCACGCUACAAAUGCUAGACAACAAAACACAAACAAAACUAGAAACCGACCAGCACUGCAUUCAAUGACACGCACUUUUGAAUUUAAAAACUGCGCAAACUAAAAUAUAACAUCAAGAAGAGAUCUUGGUCUACCAUGGGAAAUAAGAACCACUGAGACUAGCCAAGAAGACUGCCUAUGAACCAAAAAUGGGGCUUGUUUAAUCUGUCCAAAACCUCCAAAAAAAAGGUUACAGGCAAGUCAUCCUUGGCUAUCAAAGAUAGAUGCUUAUCACCAUGUAAGACCUCUCUUCUGCUCUUGUUGUCUUCUGGUUGGCUCUUCUUGCUUGCUACAUGAUGUAUUUAUAGUAAGCAAAAAGGUUGGAUUAGAUCUCUUUUCAAGUCUCAAGCUAUUCCAGUCCAACUUUGCGUUGAUAACGUCUUUUGUAAAGCAUAUUAAUGUCGGUUUCACUCUUGGCCCCUUAGUAAGCCGCCUCUAUUGAGAAUAUGCUCUUAAUUCAUAUCCAUUUAAGUCAUUUGCUGGAUUGUAGUGUAGUCAACUUGCAGAAGGAAACUUUUAGGUAAAGCAGGAUAAGAAGGAAACUAAAUUAUUUUGUUUAGAAAUACAAAGAAUUCAUAACGCUUAAAAAGUAUAAAAUUCUAUUCUUCAAUUCCCCUCUAUCACAACUUCUCUCCCUUGGCAAUAUGGUAGAAUUUUGACUUCUUAAGAGAAUCAUAUGCUUAAAUUCCCUUAGAAUAAAAAAAGUAGUAUCACUUUGAAAAUAAGAAGAAAGAUAAUGUAAUGGUUCUUUUAUUAGGCCUGAUCAAUAAAAGAAAAUUAUAUGUGCAGGGAUAUAAAAGUAAUAAUAAAGUGGUGCAAAAAUAUGCAUAGAACUUAUCUAAAUUAGAGACCUCUUUGAUCUAAUUAACCAUCCAAUCUUUAUAAAUUUCUUUUAUUUUUCUAUCUAAUAUUUCGAUCCAUUUGAAUCGACCCUUNUUCACGUCUUCGUCGUCGCAAGUUGAUUGUCUCUCAUCUUUGGUUGAUAAUUGAUAAUAAUGAAUUUUUUUUUUUUUUUGAGAGAGAUAGGUAGCGUGCUAUCUGCUUCACUGAUUUCAUUUAGAAAUAAAUUUAGCUGAAAAUGUGAAUCAACUAGGAUUCGAACUCGAGACCUUGGGUACUAAACACCAAACCCUUUACCACUUGCGCUAGGGACAGUGGGUCCUUUAGUACAUUGCUAAAGAAAACUUGUGUAUAUUGCUUGCUUUAGAAAAAUUUCAGUCACUUAAAUACCAUGAAAUUCUCUCUUUAUUCCCGCGAUAAUAAAUGGCAUCCAAAUUCUGAAAGAAAAAAACCAACAAAUGAUUAAGAAUAAUAGUGUCAUAUUGGAUACCAUAUAGAACCUUUACCUAUAUAUAAUAUAGGGAUAAUUGCCUAUAUACCCUUCAUGCGUUCGGAAAUAUCCGAUCUAUCCCUACUUUUUUUUUCUUUCUAAAAUACCCCUCAUAUGUUCCACCGUUAUUCCAAAAUAUCCACGCAGUUAUCUCCUGUUAGCUUAACUCGGGUUAAACAUGGGUUAAAUGUAUACUAGAGUUAAAACCUAAACAAAAUACCUAUUUUGCCCCUACCUUAUUAUACUACUCCCUAAGGCUAUCCUCUCUUUCUUUCCCAACUUGGUCGCCACCACCGGCUGGCUCCUCCGCCACCACCGGCCGGCUCCUCCGCCUCUACCUCGCCUCAUCUCCUCCUAGACCACCACCACCUCCCACACCUCUACCUCCAACACCACCCCUCUCGUCGCUUUCGUCGUCCUCCUCCGCCGCCGCUCUCGUCGCCGUCAUCUUCCUCCUCCGCCGCCUCGGCCGGUGCUGGGAGCAAGAGGGCCGCAGCGACGAUCCCAUUUCUCGCCGCUCUCGUCGUCCUCCUCCUCCUCCUCCGCUACCUUGGCCUGCGCCGGGAGCAAGAGGGCCGCAGCGCCAUCGGACCCCUGCACGCCCUCCGCUCCGGAUCGGGCUGAAGGGCAAAUAAGAAAAGUAUUUGCUAUAUGAAGGGUAUAUAAGAAAAGUUUGUUACGGUACAAUAGUAUAUUGGAAUGGGCAAAAUGGUAAUUUUUCAGAGAUAACGGCGGUUCACUAACGGAACUUAACUCCAGGUGUAUUUUAGAAAAACUUGGAACAUAAGAAGGGUAUUUUCAAUAGUAGCCUUCUAAGAGGGAUAAAUAAGAAAACCGGAAACUUUUCAGAGGUAUAUAGGCAAUUGCCCCUAUAAUAUAAACAAUGUCUCUGCCUAACAUUUUAAGCUUUUGGGUUAGGUUUGAGCUUUUUAAAUGGUAUCAGAGUUUGAUUCACACCCCCCAAUUAAUUUGUAGUCAGUCUAGCGGCCGCAUGUUAGUUGCGUCUAACACACAUGAAUUUGUUUGUACAGAAUGCUAGUUGUGUAUAGUAUGCGGAUUGCAUUUGUGUCACAUAUUAAUUAUAUAUUCAUACGUGAGUUUAGUAUGAUUGCAUUGGGUCCAUGUGCCACGUACUAGUAGCGCCUAACAUGUGUCAAGAAAAAGGUGUUAAAAAUAAUAGUCCUCUAUCAAAUAUCAAACAAAAUCUUGAUAUAUGUAUAUAAUGUGAAUGGCAUUUCCACUUAACAGUUUAAGCUUUUAGGUUGGACUUGAGUGUUUUAACACAAAUAUCUAGAACUAAAUAAAUUAAAGCAUUUCUUAGUGAAAUCACAAUGAGUCAUAGCUCCAGUAAACAUUUUUCCGAUAAAUUAUUCAUGCGUGAGGUGUACGUACGUUGAUCUUCAUUUGAUGGAUUUAUUAUUUUGUUUCAAAGAAAAUGUGGGCUUUUGUUUAGUCCAUAGUGCAUAUUUUUUCGGCUGGCGAGGAUUGUGUCAUUCUAUAAAUAAGAUCGAAUUAUAAGGUCAUUAGGAUGAAUUUGGAUUCUAAUAGUCAUUGAAUUAGUAUCUUUUUGUGAAGAGAGGUAUCCAAACAUUUAGUGGGUCUCUCCUAGCGAGAACAAAUCACAUGUACUCUAAUAGAAGUUGACAGAUGGGCACAAUACUACAUACAUAGAGAGCGAGUGAGAGUCCGGCUACCCUGCUACCAAAUACUUGUGCUAUCAAAUUUUCUACCGUUAGAUUUAUCUAUUUAAUCAUUUUUCAUCUCUUAAAUCAUACUAUUCCACCAAAUACCCACAAAAUCCUAGGACAGCAUUUGGUUUGGAAACAAGGGGGGAAUAAGCCCUGUUCCCCUUUUGUUGCCAAACGUAAAUUUUCGUACACGAGAACAGCAAUUCUUCGGUCCCUAAAAUAAGCUGGUAUAAUCCAAAAUAAGUCUGAAAUUAAUAUUCCACCCUUUUUCCUGGAACAAGAUUAUUCGCAACUGGGAAUAAGGUUAAUUAAAGUCUAAAUUUAAUUUUGAUUAUGGUAUUAAAUAAUUAAUUAAUUUAAUUAAUAUAUUUAAAUCAUUAUCUAUUGCUUAAGUAAUAAAAUAAUUUAUUUAUUUAUUACUCAUAAUUAAUUAGCUAAUUAAUUAUUAAUAAUUUAAUGUGUUUAUCAAAAACUAAUAUUUAUAUUGAUAAACUAUUAAAAUUUUUAUUAAUCUAAUUAAUUCUUUUUACUUGUUAUCUAACUAAAAUAAUUUACUAACUAAUUAAAAAGUUAGUUUAUUUUUUAUGUUUAAUUUAUUAGUUAAUAUAUUUUUAUUUUCUUAUACAAUAUUCAUAGUUAAUAAAUUUAUUAAUUUAUUAAAUUAUUUUAAUUUAAUAUUUUUAUGUUUCUUAAUUAAAUAAAAUACUUUUAAUUUAAAAUUAUAACUCUUAUUUCGUAUGUUCCAAUUUAAUCAUCCGAACACUAUUUUUCUUAUUUCUAGACAAUCUAAUUUUCUUCUAAACACAAAAUUAGUCUAGUUCCUGCUUUUAUCUAAACUUAUACAUAUCCCUAAAAUAAGCAAUUCUUACUUAUACCUGAACCAAACGCAGCCUAGGGGACCACUAUCGUCCUACCCGCACAUCCUUUCAUUCAAAGACCGAAACCUAAUAGCACCAAUGAUUUAGUGCUAUUAAUAGUGCAGUAGCUCAGAUCCAUAGAUAUACAGACACACAUGCGUGCGCAUGCGCGCGCGUGCACACACACACAAACAUAUAUAUAUAUAUAUAUAUAUAUAUAUAUAUAUAUAGAGAGAGAGAGAGAGAGAGAGAGAGAGAGAGAGAGAGAGAGAGAGAGGGAGAGUCCGGCUAUGGUGCUUGUAAAAGCACCAAGCAUUUGGUGCUUGUAAAUUUUUUACCGUUAGAUCUACUCCUCGGAUCAUUUUCAACCGUUAGAUUAUACUAUUUAACCAACCACCCACUCAACCCUAGGGGGCCCACACCAUCCUAACCGCACAUCCCUUAAUCCAACGGCUAAAAAUCUACAAGCACCAAUGUUUUGGUACUUUUAAAAGCAUAGGAGCUCAAUUCUAUAUAUAUGCUUAUUAGUAUUUGCAAGUUUUCGUUCUUCGGAUGAAGAUUUGUAGGAUUAAAAUAAAAGUGGUACUCUAGGGUUGAGUGGGUGGUUGGUGAAAUAGCAUAAUCUAAGAGAUAGAAUUGGUUAAAGGUAUAGAUCUAACAGUAAAAAAUUUACAAAUAUCAAGUGCUUGGCGCUCUUAAAAGCACCAUAGCCGAAUUCUCUCUCUCUAUAUAUAAUUUAUAUAUUAAAGAAGAGAGUUUUACUAGAAUACUAUCAGUAGUAAAGGAUUCCAUUUACUACUAAUUUAUUUUUGGUGAUAGAGCUUCCAUAUCGACGAUCGGCAUAUUGUAAAAUAUGAUCUAAACUAUUUAAACAAUCUGAAAAUCAAAUUUUACAUUUUUUCAAUAUUAUUCUCUUGUCCAUCAAGUGAAAAAAAGUAAAUGGCUAAAAAUAAAUAUCCUUCAAAACAUGAUGAUAUAAUUUUUAUAUUUAAGAUCUGUAGUCUAGAUCUUAUUUUAAAUAGUUUAAAUAAUUUUCUAACAAAAAUUUAAUUUUUUGUACCGUUUUAUCCCGCUAAAACGAGCAAACGCAUCAUUUCGGUCAUUAAAAUUACAGAUUUUGUGAUCCUUUGAUCAUCCAAUUAGUAAUGUCAAAAAAGCAUAAAAUUUGAUUUCUAGAUAGUUUAAAUAGUCUAGAUAAUAUUCAACGAUGUUGAUCGUCAAUUUGGAAGUUUUAUUAUCGAAAAUAUAUCUGUAUUAAACCGAGCCGUUUACUACCAAUAAUAGCCUAGUCACUCACUCUCUCUCUCUCUCUCUCUCUCUAUAUAUAUAUAUAUACACACACAUAUAUAUAUAUAUAUAUAUAUAUAUAUAUAUAUAUAGUCGGGCUACUAUACUAUCAGGACCCCUAAGAUUGAGUAAAUGGUUGGUUAAAUAGUAUGAUCCAACAGGUGAAAAUGGUUAAAGAAAUAAAUCUAACGGUGGACAACUUAUAAGUACCAAAUAUUUAGUGCUUUUAAAAGCACCAUAGUUGUACUCUAUAUAGAGAGAGAGAAAAAGAGCGAGAAAGAGAAAAAACUCUACUCAUACACCCUGUUUUGACGUGUACAAUAUACACCAACCCAUCCUUGGGUGGGAUGGACUAAGUAUCGAUGUGACUUGUAGAGUUCAUCCCACCGUACACCCCGAAACAGGGUGUAUACAUAGCACGACUAGUUCUCUCUCUCUCUCUCUCUCUCUCUCUCUCUCUCUCUCUCUCUNGGGGCCCGGAGACGUCCCCGUCAUCGACAUGUCGAAGCUGGGAUCCAAAUGGCACGCCGCCGAUGAGCUGAAGAAGCUCGCCGCCGCCUGCGAGGAGUGGGGCUUCUUUCAGGUACAUAUAGAGUUAAUAUAUUAUCGGAAGUACAGAGGAGUUGACGCUUCUAAUUUUUUGAUCCUUAGAUCAAGAAUUAUACUGUUGGGAUGAUUACGGUCUCCUAGGAUUGAGUAGUACUAGAGGUUAGAGUUGAGUGGUCCCCACAUGAUAAUAAUAUUAAUCCAAAGAUUAGAAAUAAUUAAAAAAAUUAAUCUGAGUGCCAAAAAGUUGAAAGCACAAUAUUCCGAUAUAUAUAUAUAUAUUAGAGCUACUAUGUUAUCGGAAAUAUAGAGGAUCUGGAGCUUUCGAAUUUUUGACCUUUAGAUCAACCCCUUUAAUCAUUUCUAACAUUUGGAUUAAUACUAUUAACCUAUCGGGACCACCCUGGGGGGACCGCAAUCAUUCCAAUCGUAUAAUUUUUAAUCCAAUGAUCAAAAAGUUGGAAGCAUCAGAUCCUAUAUACUUCCGAUAGUAUAGUAGCUCUAUAUUGGACGUUAUCCUGUGUAAUAUAUGGUGUAAAGCUAUUAUAUUUUCGAAAUUAUAAAAAAGUUGCUGUUUUUUAUUUUUCAAUUUUUAUAUUAAAAAUUAUAGAAUUGGGAUGAUAGUGGUCCUCCCUAUAAUUUAGUAGUCUCCUAGAGGAAUAAUAUUAAUUCAAGGACUGAAAGUGAUCAAAAGGGUUGCUUCAAGGAUUGAAAAACCUUGCGAAAACAUAAUAGCCGGACUAAUAUAUGUGUAUGCCACUACUUGAAUCCCUGGUGAUACUGGACUGUACAUGUAAGUGGGCCUAAUAAAGACUUCGAGGUCUAAACAGAAAAUUUUGUAACACUCCAGUAAUCUCAUAUUGAAUGGAAAAAGGAUUAUAAUUGUGUAUUUCAAAACUAUGUACUCUUUGGGCCGGUAGUGCCCUCACUAGAUUCAACUAGAUUUAGUAAUUAAUCUAGUUUGUGCAUAGUAUAAAGUAUAAACUGGCUCUAUUAACAUCACCAAACUCCUUCGCGAACCAACUUGACACUAAAGAAGACUUUAGUCUAUCAUGAAAAAUAAGAGCUACUUAGCCUAAAACCACUUGGAACUUACGCUUUAUUGAAAAACUUCGAAAUAAUUUAAUUACAGGUAGAGAUGUUACAGACUCUUCCCGUUUCUAAGAUUACAAAGUUGAUGUUAAAUUUACUAGUUUCUAAGAUCACAAAGUUGAUAUUAAAUUUACUAGUCUUUAUUAUUCCGAUACUUAGUCUAUCAUCCGUUUCUAAGAUCACAAAGUUGAUGUUAGAUUUACUAGUCUUUAUUAUUUCGAUACUGACUUAGUCUGUCAUUCACCGACCCUGACUCAACUAAGACUCAUCUCACACUUCCAGCUGGUAAAUCGGCUCUAAUACCAAAUUCAACGACCCGACCCGCCAGUAGUUCACCUCUGAUACCAAAUGCAACGAUCCAACCCACCAGCAAUAAUAACUCAUUAGGUUCAAACCACCGCUCAAAAUACUUAAGCGUAAUUAUAAUUAUUAGGGUAGAGUCUUCUUAUAUACUCAUAUUUUUCAUCCAAUAUGGGACUAUUGGAUAUUACAAUUUAUUGUGAGUAGGAAGAGAAAUCAAAUUUGGUUA
This 88170-nucleotide long non-coding RNA is filed under the name Ananas comosus (pineapple). Lineage: Eukaryota; Viridiplantae; Streptophyta; Magnoliopsida; Poales; Bromeliaceae. The record is from RNAcentral.